RNAcentral lists this long non-coding RNA (84972 nucleotides) under Gossypium barbadense (sea-island cotton). RNAcentral's name for it is "long non-coding RNA (GBAR_LNC019560)". The stretch from base 9952 to 10096 matches the Rfam family "MIR7502 microRNA precursor family". The record is from RNAcentral. Lineage: Eukaryota; Viridiplantae; Streptophyta; Magnoliopsida; Malvales; Malvaceae.
UAAGUAAAUGAUGUUUGUCAGCAAACCUCUGGAGGACUCUGAAAUUGCCAUGUUCUUCCCUGAAUCGUUCUUGGAACGAUCUGCGAUGGAAGUAGUAAGGGUUGUUCCUUUGUUGUUGCUCUCCUUCGUCACUUUCCUCUUCUUCUUCUUCUCUCCACUUGUUUUCUCUCUCUCCCUUCCAUGGAUCCUCUUGGUACUGUUCCCUGCAUUCCUUCACACAUUGUUGCUUCCGUUCGGGCCUUUGCUCUUGCCAUUGGCAACGCUGUUGACACUCCUUGAAUCGCUUGUCAGGCUGCUGCUGCUGCUGUUUCUCGUAUUGUUCCCUGCAGCUUUGUUCGCAAUGUGGACGCAGCCUUCUUUCUUCCUGUUGGCAGUGUUGUCGGCAAUCCUGGUAUCUCCUCUGAGGAUCUUCUCCGUCACGCUGCUGCUCCUCCUUCAACUGCGUUUCACACCUGUCUUCACACUUGUCUUGCUCCGUUUGUCCACGUGUCUCCAAUUGGCAUCGCUUCCGGCAGUCCUCGUACCUCUGUUGAGGAUCAUCCUCGCUUCUUCUGCCGGGGAAGUCUUUGGCAGAGCAAAGCAAGCCAAAGGAAAGGAAAAGAGAAAAGAGCAAAACUACGAAAACUGACUUGUUCCUCACCAUGAUUACUAUAAGCUCUGUAUUUUUUAGUGCACGAUGGUAAUGGCAAAGACCGGUAAUGUAUUUAUAGAAGGUGGAACUGUGGAAGGUGAUGUUUUUGCAUGCAAAUCUCCAUCAACGUGUUGAAGACAUUGACAUGCAAGGUGACGAGUGUGCAAAUUAAAGAAGACAAAAUAUUUUGAGUCUUUUUUUAUCGAGAUGCCACAUCCCUUCACGUGGUACGGUCAGGGUUCGGACAAGCUUUGUUGCAGAGGGGAAUCAUGGUUGUAUCUGUAACUAGAAGUGGCGAAGUGAUAAUGCUUUGACAGUAGAGUGGUGGACCGAGUUGUCGUUUGUGUCAACUCAGGUGAGUUUAAAGAGUGUAAAAAGUGGGAUGUGGCUGUUUUAUGAGGUGAAUUAGAGACGAGUUGAUGUCCCGAUUCACUGAGUUUUAAGGUUGAGUUGGUUUUUAUCUGCACUUGGGCAGAAUGGAGGACAGCUCAAGUGUACACAUGUUGCUGUGCAUGGUGAUGACUGAUGAGUUGCUUGAGAUAUGAACGAAUUAAGACAUGUACAUAGAUACUAUUUGAAUUUGAUAUAAUCUAAUUGUAUAAAUUCAUGCUACUGAAAUUUAAAAACUAAGAUAACAUGUCACAUGUUUGAAAAAUAAAAAUGAAUUUUAAAUGAAGGCAUGCUUAUACUUGGUUUUUUUUAGUUGGGUGAGAGAAGUUAUGAGUAGAAAUAAAGAUUAUAUUAAAAUAAAUUUUAAAAUUAUUAUUGAAAUUUUAAAUUUAUUCAUUAAAUAUGUUAGAAAAUAUAAUUUGUAAAAAAGAUUAAAUAUUGAUGGCUAAAAAAAACUCAAAAAUAUAAUUAAAGUUAUUUUAACAAAACAUACAAAUGCUAAUAGCCAAAUUUAUGAAAAAGUCAUAAUGGUUUCUUUUAAUAUUACGAGUUCAAUGUCACUUUAACCAUCUCAUGGAGCUAAUCAACCGCGCAAUACAUGAUCAUAAUGCCUACAACGGGGCCUUGCAGACGAAUGGCACCUUACAGACUACCUCGCGAACAGAAUCAACGGUUCACACAACAAAUAUCUCGAUUCACAACACAUCUCCUCAAGACAGAAAUUAUCCCACAUACCACCUAACAUUCUCCUUCAAAUACAAUCACCAAGAUUCACCGUACGGCGCAGCAGCAUCACUAACCACUGACAGCCCUUAUCCACUAACUUUUGCUACGUCCUUACAACACUUCAACCAAACUCACUGCAAAUUACUAUUUAUCAGACAAUUACUAUGUCAUCUCCAACGGCUCCGGUUUUCAACAUGUUUGUAUACCCCCCAAACAGGAAGCGGCGCAGGUACCUCCUUGGCCAAGUUUAUGUCCAUUGGAAGUUACAACCAAUACUCGCAGGUAUCAAACACCUGCAAAACGGGAUCUGAUUAUACGUACAAGAGGAACGAUACCCACUCCAUGCAACAGUCAACAGGUUGGCAUACGUAGCCUGGAACUUGUUUCUUUGACUUGAAGUUUACCAAAAAAAUUAUACCACUUUAACUAUAUAUUAAAAGAAUUUGAUUCACGAUUUGUUUAAAUUUUUUAUAAAUGAGAAUGAGAAUAAAAUUGUUUGAGAUCGAAUUUAACCUUUAAUAUUUACAAUAUAAUGUUUUUAUUACUAGGUCUAGAGGUUGCUGACAAAAUGACUUAUUUAAUUAAAUGUCAUUUUGCUUAGCAAUGCAAGUUCAUUUUCAUUACAAAAAGGAAAUAUUUUCUCUUGAUAUUAUACCACAUCUUGAACAUGAAAGUUAGUGAAAAUUAAACUUGUUUAAUUAAAUCAAUUAUAUAUAUAAGAAAAGAAAGAAAGGCAAAAGUGAUGAAUAAAAAAACUUCAAUGGAGCAUUGGGGAUAAUAAAAGAAAUAUAUAUCUUAAAGCAAGGUUAAUUUUGUAAUAAUAAACACUAGUUAACCCAUUGGAGCAUUUACCUUCGUUGCAUUUGAUAAAACUCACCUCACUGGUGAAAUUCGAGGGGAGCUAAAACCUCCGGUUGGAAUUUUUUUUGUUCAGAAAGUUGUGCAACAGACAAGCAGAUUGGAGGGAUUAUUGUUGUACCCAAAAUAUGUGGGUUUAGACCUAGAGUCAUAACCACCGGCUGAAGUCCAAAUAGCAAUAAAAGGCUCAAGCAAUAAGCAGGCUAGCCAAUUACUAAAUGACCCAUUAAAGGGUUACUUGCUCAUUUAAUGAAAACGAACCUGACCUUACCCCUGUAGAGCUUGAGAGUUGGUAUAAGCAUCCUCCUUAUGUCUUCAUGCAAGAAGCUUUUCAUAAGCUCCAUUCGACUUAAACUCAAGCUGUUGAACAAGAUAGAACGGGGAUCUAACAACCCUAAAAUAGAAUGUAGCUAAUUCACCAAUCAAAUAUAAUGGUUAGAUCUAAACAUGAGAUCGGGUAGCUCCACAAAAAUAUUACAAAAUCCAUAAAUGCUCACUAUCUAACAUUAUAAAAAUUUAUCCUUUCUCAAGAUUGAAAAUUUUGGUAUUAGUAUAAUUUUUAGAGACAUUAACAACAUCAAAUGACAUAAUACUAAUUACUUAAGUACUUAACAUUUUAUUCCUUAACAUAGAAAGACAAAAAAACGCACUCAAAAGUUCAUACAAGUUAUUGCACUACAAAACAAGGGUCUCCUCCUUUACAUAGGUCACCAUUUUUAUUUCAUUACAUGCCUGCUUAAAACUAGAAAAUUUCACAUUAGUCCAUAAACACGAGACUAUGUGAUUAUUAUUGCCUUUAACUCUUUAUUCAGAUGCACGCUGCCUCUGUCGAGACACGAAGUAAGACUCUUGUGGGUUGCUGUUGAAUAUCUCAUCCACCAACCUCGAUGACACCCCAAAGGCCAACUCCUUGGCUUGGCUAUCCCAUUGUCUCACAUGGUUGAUUUUCCCAGCCACGAAGAUCCUCUGGUUAUGGUCUGGGUUAAUGUUCUGGUUGUAAAGACCGAACCCAGUCAUCCUCAGGUUCUGGUUUUGGGAUGCAACGAAUGUAACUGGAAAGUUUGCUGGGACUACAAAUAUGUCUCCACGCGACAACCGGGACCUUAUUUUCCUGUAUUGUCCACUUCUCCUUUCCUCUUCUUGUUCUUGUUCUUCUUCUUCUUCUUCUUCUUCUUCUUCUUCAUAUGAGCUUUGCCUAGGAAGAUGAGGAGAAACCAUUUCAGCGUAUCCAUUUCCUUCGGUAACAAGGAUCACGAAUGUAGCCUUUGAAUUGUAGUGCGGCACAAAGAUUGAUCCCUACAAAAAAAGGAUUUGAUUUUGGUUAGUAUAAUGAUGGAAAUUAGAGGGAAAACAAAGGGUGGUUUGGUUUUAAGUACUUGGUUUAAUUGCAAGGCUGAAACGGUGACAUUGAUGUCCCUGAGUUGCCGGAAUUCACGUGGGCAAGCCUCGAAGAAGCGGCCGUUUUGGUUGGAGUAGCGAGGGGUUUGGCUCAAUAAGUUGAAGGCGAAUCUCUCGCCACUUUUCUCCCUUGGUGAAGUAGCUUCUUGGCUCAAUGCCCUUAUUUGUUCCUGGCUGGCUUUACGGAACAUUCCCUGUCCCUGCUGCCUUCGACGGCUUUGCCUCCCACCAAACAGCUCGUCUAGCUGCUCACUUCGUGUCUAAUACAACACAACAUGAAUGAAUCAAUGAAUAAUCAAGUUUUAUUAAAAAAAAGUUGAUUAAUUAGUUCAAAGAGCAAUACAUUGAAGGCAGGCUCAAGAAUUUCACGACUAAAGGCUCGGAGAUAUGACUGAGGGCGUUGGCUUCCAGCUGGGAAGAAUUCCUGCAGCAAAAAUAUGAGUAAAUAUCUAUAUAACCAAAACCAAACAAAUUUGUAAAUGUUUUAAAAAUGUAGGAACCUCGAAUUGUCCAGGGUUAUUAACAGGGCGGUGAAGCACUGCUAUGAUUAGCUUUUCCUUGUUGUCUUGGUUAACCAAGUACACAGUGCUUCCUGCUGGGACGUUGACUACAAGUCCCGGUACUAUAUUGUAGGACUCUUUGUUUUCAUGUGUCAAGAACGUAAGCGUUCCUCUUCCUGUGAAAGUAAACAGUUUACCAUGUUUUAGUUAAUGGUGUUAUAUUAUAUAUGCUGAUAAAGGGAAGAGGAAAUAGAAUAAUGUUCACCGUUGGUGACAAGGUAAAUUUUCUCAGCGUCACAAUGGUGUGGGAGAACGAAAGUGUUGGGGUUUGCUUCUAAGAUAGAUAAGCGGAACUCAUUGAUGCCCCUAAGAAUAGGAUGCCUUGAAGCAAACCUUUGGAGGACCCUGAAAUUGCCAUGUUCUUCCCUGAAUCGAGAUUGGAAUGAUCUGCGAUGGAAGUGGAAAGGGUUAUGGCUUUGUUCUUGCUCUCCUUCUUCAGUUUCCUCCUCUUCUGCUUCUUCUUCUCUCUCUCCCCUCCAUGGAUUCUCCUGGUACAUUUCCCUGCAUUCCCUCACACAUUGUUGCUUCUUUUCCGGCCUUUGUUCUUGCUGGUGGCAAUGUUGCUGACACUCCUGGAAUUGCCUCUGGGAUUGUUGUUGUUCUUGCUCGAAUCGUUUCAAGCACCUUUGUUGGCAUUGUGGUUGUUGCCUUUCUUCUUGCUGUCGGCAUUCUUGCUGACACUCCUCGUAUCUCCUCUGGGGAUCUUCAGGGCGGUGGCGCUGCUGUUGACCUUUCUCCCCAUACUGACUUUUACAACUUUCUUCACACUGCUGUUGCUCCUUUUGUCCACGUGUAUCCCAUUCGCAUCGCCUCCGGCAGUCCUCGUACCUCUUCGAAGGAUCAUCGUCGCCUCUUCUGCCGGGAAAGUCUUUGGCAGAACAAAGCAAGCCAAAGGAAAGGAAAAGAGAAAAGAGCAAAACUACGCAAGCUGACUUAUUCCUCACCAUGAUUACGAUAGCUCUGUAUUUUGUUACUGUGUGAUGGUAAUAGCAAAGAGUGGUAAUGUAUUUAUAGAAGGUGGAGCUGUGGAAGCUGAUACUUUUGCAUGCAAAUCUUCAUCAACGUGUUGAAGACAUUGACAUGCAAGGUGACGAGUGUGCAAAUUAAAGAAGACGAAAUAUUGUCUUUCUUUUUUUAUAGUGGGGGGUAGAUAUCGAGAUGCCACAUCCCUUCACGUGGUACUAGCAAGGUUCGGACAAACUUUGUUGCAGGGGGGUUCAUGGUUGUAUCUGUAACUGGAAGGGGCGAAAUGAUGAUGCUUUAACAGCAGAAAGAUGAUGGACCGUGUUGUGUUGUACGUGAACUGAGUUGAAUUCAAAGAGUGUUGAAACUGGGAAGGGUUUUAAAGUGAGAUAGAGAUGUCCCGAUUCACUGAGUUAAGGUUUGAGUUGAUAGAGGACAACUCAAGUGUACACAUGUUGCUGUGCAUGGUGAUGAUCUAUGACUUGCGGGAGAUAUGAACAAAUUCAGAUAUGUAUAUUUUUGGUAUCCUGUUCGUUUGAUGCUCAUACAAAUUAGUCCUUUCAAAGUUUGAGGUAUUUUUAUUCGUUUUCAAUAAUAUUAUCUAAGUAUUACAUAUAAUAUCAUUAUAUAAAUUUAUAAUAACAAUGGAAAAUAAAAUGUUUCACUAAAAACACUUAAAAGUAAGGAUUUGGAUUCAAUAUAGAUGAUAGGAUAAAAGUUAUACAGUCCAAUCUUAACAUAUAUAAGGUGCCACAUAUUAAGAAAUAUGGUAAUUUAUUUUUUCAUAAAUUUUGAAUUAAUUAUACUUAUUCAUUAAUAAUUUUAUAUAAUCCUAACAAUAUUAUACUAUGUUAGUUUAUUAAAAACAAACAAGUAGGCUAGGGGCUAGGGACAUGACUCUUUAAUUUUAUGACUAUUUUUUAAAAAAAAUCUUAAAAUUUAGGGUUAAUAAAAACAAAGUAACCUAUAUUUAUUUGGUAUUUAAAAUAUUUUUUUAAACUUAAUUAAUACUUAAACUUGUAAAUCAAUUUGAUAUUUUCUUUGAAUAUUUGACUAAUAUCAUUAAAAUUCGUUGACAUAAUACUGACGACCUAUAACAUAGCAACAUGUGUCAACAUCACAUUUUGACACGCGGUAAAAAUAAUAAAAAUUAUAGAAAUUUUUAUACAUCUCAUUUUAGACAUACUUUUUUAGUAUUUUUUAUAUAUUUUAGCUUUUUUAUAACAUAUUAGAUUUUUUAUAUUUUUAUUAUUAUUUUGACAUGUAAAAUAUAUAAAAUCUAAAAAAUAAAUAUAUAUAUAAAAACAAACAUCUAGUACAUAUUUCCUCUUCGAUGCUUCUUGUAACGACCUAAAAAGUGCAGGCAUUGGAAAGUGAAUUAUUGGGCCUCCAUUUUAGUGAAACAAGUUUGUAAAUAAUUAUUAAAAAUAUUUAUAGAAUUAAUUAUAAGACCAAUUGGAUUUUAGUUAAGUGAAUUUAGUUGAAUUAAAGUUAAUUGAGUAUUAGGACUAAAUUGAAAUAAGUGUGAAAGUUAAUUAUAGAAUAGUGAAAGGAGAAAGGACUAAACUAAUAAUUAAACCAUAAAAAGUGACAAAUAUGUGAUAAUUAUAAAUACAUGUGUAAUAAAUAUAUGUAUACAUUUGUAAUUAAUAUAUGUAUGUACUUAUUAAGUAAAAGAUAUUUAUGUAUUAUAUUAUUAUAAUAUAAAGUAAAGAAAUAAAAGAAAUAAAAGAUAGAAAAAGAGAAUAGAAACAGAAUAGCAAAACGAAACAGAGAAGAAAAGAAGGAAAAGAAAGAAAGAAAAGGGAAAAUUAAGGUUUUGAGGUUCCAAGCUCAAUUGCUAAUGUCGUGCAAGAGUUAUUGUCCGAGAAAGGAAAGGAGAAGAUGAAUAAGGAGUGACUCGAGAAAAUUACGGUUAGUAUUACCAUAAUUCGAAUUUAAUUAUUAAUUGUUAAAAUUUAAAUUAAUAUACAUGAUAAGCAAAUUGAGGUAAGUAUCAUGAUUGAAUUAAAUGAAAAAUACGUAUUGGUAUUGAAUUUAUUAAUAGUAAUUGUUGAAUUUUGAAUAAUAUGUUUAGUAAAUAAAAAUAAGGUGAAUAUCAAUAUUGAAUUAAAUGAUAUUUAAUUGUAUGUGAAUUGAAUGGAAUUUACUAGUGAUAUGAUUUGAAUUAAAAGAAUUAAUGUGGUAUUGAAAUGCAUAUUGGAUUGAAAGAUUGAUUUAAAUUGUGAACAUGAGAAAUUGUGAAUUGAAUGAAAUUAAAAUGAAGUAUGAAUAUAUAUAUAUGAGCAUUUGAUGGUAUACUGAUUGGAAAGUGAAAAAUGUAUUGAAUUGAAUUGUGAUUAAAUUGGAAUGAUUUGAAUUGAAAGUAUGAGAAAGUGAUUGAAUUGAAAUGUGAUUCGGAAACCCUAUUAACUAGUCGGGAUGAGUCGGAUAUAGUUGGCAUGCCAUAGGAUUGGAAGAGUUCAGGGAUACUUCGACCUCGAGUCGAUGAGACAUUGGGUGUCAUUAUAUUUCUUCGGAUAGUUUCGAUGAAGUACUGGGUACCAACUUUCUUCGGCCCUGCCGAUGAGACAUUGGGUGUCACUUUAUUGCUUCGAACUAUCCGAUGAGGCACUGGGUGCCAUUCUGGUGUGUUUGGUUGGAUCCGUGUAUCCGCCAAGGUCCAAGUCUUGUUAAUAGGGGUAAAUAAUUGGAAUGAGAAAAAUUGAAUAAGUUUGAUUUAUUGAGCUAUGGAAAGAAAUGAGAAAGUGAAAUUGUGAAUUGGAAAUCGAGAUAUGAGAUUUGAAGAUAUGAACCCAAAGUUCAUGAUUUGAUUAAGAGUAAAUUUUUGUUAUAUGAUAUUAGUGAGUACAAAUUGCAAUAGAAUUGAUACUGAAUAUAGUGAUAAAUUGAAUGAAUUGCAUAUGAACUUAAAUGAACUAUUGGAAUGAGAUGUGAAAAAUCCAAUAAAAUUGAGAUAGUGAAAUAAGGUAUGAAUACAAUUAAAUACAAGAUUGAAAUAUUACUUUUUGUUAUUAAUGAUCAAGUUGAUUUAAAGUAUGAGAUAAUUAAUGAAUAAUUGUAGACAUAAAUUAAAUGUAUAUAAUUUAUCAAUUAAUAUUAUUAAUUUGAAUUAUGGUAAUACCACUGAGUAUACCCAUACUCAGCAUACAGUUGUUUCCGUGCGCAGGUUAAUAGAAAGUCAGUGUCUAGUCCAGCAUCCAAAGCAAUCCCGACCUCAGAGAAAUUUUAGUGAUGUACCUUUCUUGUGAUAAUAGGGCAUGUACCUAAGUGAUGUAUAGGUUAAGUAUAAAAGUAUUGUGAUUAUGAUUUUACAACGAUGUUAAAAUUUGUUACAAGUAUGGAAUGGAACUAAUAUGACAUAUUUGAUACAAAUAUGCUAUGCCUGCUAUAUAUUUGUGAACUAGUUAUAAGUUAUCUGAUAUGUCCGGUAAUACUCCGUAACCCUAUUCUAGCGACGGUUUAGGGUUAGGGGGUGUUACACUUCUGGUGAAAUAUAAUAUGGGCUACCAAUAAUGUCCUUAAAUACAUCAGCUAUUCCAAAGGCACGGAGUUAAAAAAAUAAAAAAAAAUCAACCCGACCACGAAAAUUUUAAUGAACUGAGAUUAUUAUAUUUGCACCUGGCUUAUAAAAGAGUGACACACCCAAAUUCGUAGCCUUGAAUGGUGAAUUUUCGUCCUUGUAAUAGAAUGGCAAGUAUGGAUGAUUUGGACCAUGGUUCUAAGCAAAGAAGCGGCUGCACGUUGUUAUCAUUUUUAAAAAUGAUUUUUUUGAAAAAAAAUUAAUUUUUGAAAAUGUUAAAAUUAGAAUUAAAUUGAUAAAUUUUGUAAAUGUUGAGGGUUAAAUUUAUUAAUUUUUUAGAAUUCAAACUAAAUUGACUAAUUUUGUAAACAUUAAGAGCUAAAUUUAUUGAAAUUUUUAUAUUUAGGAUCAAACUGAUAGAAUGUGUAACUAUCAGAGGAUUAAAUUUAUUAUUAGAUUAAUAAAAAAAACCCACGUCAGCUUCCCGUACUCAUCUUAGGGCAACUAAAGGUAGAGUGAUUAAAAUAUUGAUUUUGAAAAAUUUAAUGACUAAAUUGAAAAUCUAAUGAAAGGUAUAGUUGGGUGACAUUUUUGUAGUUUACCCAAAUAAUAAUAUAUUUUAUACCAACAUCAAUGCAAAUUAAAAUCGGGAAAUUUGGACUUGUGAAACAAAUGGGCCGAUCCAAUGUGGACUCUCAAGGCUUUAUUAAAAAUCACUUCAACCCAUUACAUUUGAGGCCCAAUGCACCCUAAAUUCAAUAUAUUUCACCAAUAAUGUCUUGGCAUUUAAAAAUAUCAUGGAGGCCCUUGUACUAAGUGUUAAAUUGUAUUUUACCUCCUCUAUUCAAAAAAUAGAUAAAUUAGUCCCUGUACAUUAGAUCAAUGAGCAAAUUGAUCCUUUCCGUUAAAAAUUUCAUCCAUUUCUACUAUUAACAAUUGACAUGACUGACAGAAUAACCAAAUAGUAAUACGUGUCAUGCCACAUGUAUUUUAUGCCAACGAAUAGGGAACGAUUUUUAACAAUAGAAAUAGAUGAAAUUUUUAAUAGAAUGACCAAUUUACUCUUUGAUCUAAUAUACAGGAACUAGUUUGCUCAUUUUUUUAGUAGAGGGGGUAAAAUAAAAUCCAACUCCUAGUAUAAGAGCCUCCAUGGUACUUUUAACCAUGAAAAAACAAAUUACAUAAUUUAUGUUACUAAAUGAUUUUAAUAUAAAAGUUAUCGUACCAUUGUCGAGAGGUAUUAUGGGCUGAGUCAAAUCUAUGUAUGGUAUUAGCACAAUUUAUUUUCAUUAAAUUCGGCUCAGCUCAAAAUAUAAGUCACAAAAUUUUCUCAUUCCUACCCAUAUCGGUAAAUAACUAACUGAAAAGCUUGUUUUAAGCUCAUUAUAUUAUAUUUUCAAUUUUUUACAAAAAAACAUUAUUUUUAAUUCAAUAUUUAACAAUUUAGCAUUUUUAUUAAAAUUUUAAACAUAGAUAAUUUGCAUGUUGUUUAUUUUUUACAUUAUAAUAUUAUAUAUUAUUAUAUAUUUAUUUUUUUUCAAAUUCAGGUUUAAUAUUACAUCAUUUUCUUAGUUAUAUGGCUAUCAAGUAAAUUUUUUUAAUUCAAAAUGUUACACCAACAAAUUUAAUAAAAAAAACUUUAAACAAGGUUAACAAUUGAAUCUUAAUUUUGAAAUCUGUAAAAUUAAGGGACUAAAUUCCUAAAAAUAUAAGUAUAAGAAAUAAAUUCUAAAUUUACAAAAAUACAAAAACUUAACGUAUUUUAACCAUUUUAUAUUAAUGUAAUUGGUUGGUCCUCAGUCCUCACCUCUAUGCUAUACAAGUCUUUAAAUAAGUUAGUCAAUUAACUUCAGUUCAGUAAUUACAAAAAAGAAAAAAAACAAAUGAAAAAUAAUUAUAGAAUUUUAUAUAUAAAAAAAAAGUGAACUGCCUUUUGUACAUUAAUAAUAAUAAUAAUAAUAAUAAUAAUUCUGUUAAAAUAUAAUUUUCAAACUCUUUUUGCACUUAGUGCAACCUAUUUUUAUGUAAUAUAAUUCAUAUUUGAUUCCUUUUUACAUGUAUAAUAUAUACUAUAUAUAUAGAUAUAGAUGAUUCUUUCUUUUAAUAAUUUUUUUUCUCUUCACGUAAGAACCCUACAACCCAAUUUCAGUAAGAACAAAAAACAAUAAAAUCCUAGCAAAUCCUAACACUUCAAUGGCCUCAAGACGUUCAAAGGUUAUUCGUUCAUCGAGCCAAGGCGAAAUAGGUCUGUUUAAUCAGAUAAUGCCAAUAGACUCUCCAACUCCAAUAUCGAAUCGGCUGACACCGGCCCAUUCAGCUGUAAGAAGAGCACCGAACACGGUUCCGAUGCAGCAGCCAAGAACGGCGGUUCCGAAAAAACAGCAGCUGCCAAAGAAGACAAUAUUUAUGUUGGGGUCACCCGAAAGAAGAAGAGAGAUAAAAAAGGACGAAGGGUUCGGGAUCUUUUUUCAGAAUUGUUCCUUGUGCAAGAAGAAACUCAAACCGGAUAAAGACAUUUAUAUAUAUGGGUACGUUAGACACGAUUUUUUACCAUUAGUGUUGGAUAUUCGGGUUUAUUAGUUUAUAUUUACAGUAUAAAGUGAAUCAUUGUUUGAUGAUUGCAGUUACCUAGGCGCAUUCUGCUCCGUUGAUUGCCGAGAUGAUCGAAUAGCUUUGGACGGUAUCGACAAUGAAGUUGUUCCCAAAUUACAAAUAAACAUGAGACCCUCAAAGAGAUUUUGAACCACAAAUUUGACAUUUUCCUGAUAUGUAUCGGAUACAAAUAUUCAGUUUUUUUAAAAGCUAUCAUCGUAUCGAAAUUCUAAUUCGUGCCGAAUAGAUUUGAAAUAAAAAAAAGGGUGUCCUUAGAGAGGAUUAAGCAACAAGCAUUGUCUGCUACAGCUGAAUAUUACAGAGGGAAUGUAAGAGCUAUUCAUUGGUAUGGUCUCCAUUGCAAGAGACAGAGGAACAUGCUUUUGCCAGCCAAUGCCCACUAACAAAAAAGGGUUACUUUCAGAUUAUAUAACCAAAAGAAUCUUACCAUAUAACUUGGUCUGACCCCAUUGUUGAUAAUUAUUUAUUAAACUUCCUUUUAAAACCUUGGAUUAAUAUAUAUAGAGAAAGAAUAAUAGGUUCAGAAGGAACUUAAAAUCAUGAGUUUGCCAAUGUAAUUUGUCAGGUAUAUGAACUGUCAUGUUCUUUCUUUCUUUUUUUUUUUUGUUUCUUUCAUUAUAUCAGUUGCAGGUUCUGAUACUUUUACACCGAAAAGUUCAUCACAGUCUAAUUAGAAGACAUGUUGGUUUUAGGUAUUUGAUUCUUUUAUACAAGAAAACAGUUGGUACUGUUUGAUUGUUUCAGUUCAACAUUCUGAAGAAUCUGAACAAAUAAUUAUUAUAGAAUAUUGCAGGUUGUAACACCUUUUUUUAAGGACAAGAAAAUAACAAUGAGGGCUCCGUUUUAGGGCUUUUUUAUUGUGGUAUUUACUGCUGUUGAUACAAGUAAUUAACAAGGAGGGAAAGAUGGUGAGAAAAGAGUGUAGGACAUGGAGAAGGUGAAGGUUGUUGUGUAGGGCUUUCAGGGAAAAAGGAGCUAACCUUUUAGUCUCUCGUGCAUUUAGGCUUAUAUAGGAGGUCAUCUUUUAUUAUUUAUGAUUAGUGUCACAUAAUCGAUAAUAUGGUAUCCGGUAAAGUUGUACAUGUUAAUUAGAUGAUAAUGCAAUUACAAUUCAAUUGUCAUCAUAAAGUGUAUUGAGUGAUUUUGCUUUUAUAUAUUCGUUUUUGGGGGUUUUACAAAGUUACUAUGGCUUCAUGGUCUUCAUGGGAUGCAUAGCAAGCUGUCUUUUAGAUAAGAUAAUCAAGAGUUCAUCCGCGGGUUGUCUUACAUAAAAGAUUACUACGGACAAUUCCUUAUGAAGAGUUGCGCACAAAUAACAAAAAAUUAUCUGAAGAUAACUCAUGUCUUGUCACGUGUCAUGUUGAAAUGAGUAUAUAAAUGCGACAAAACAAAAAACCACACUAUCCUAAAAUCAGUCCCAUUGUUAGCUUGGCCAAAAAGUAAUAGAAUUAAUGCCAUUUUAAUGAACAAACAGUGGCCAGAAUCUGGUGAAUUUGCUUGGAAUUAAUAAUUAGCCGACCAGAAGGCAACUCCUUCAGUUUUAAAGUGACUAUUCACUGAUAAGGUUUCUCCCUUUGAUAGCUUUCAAGUGAACAUAUAUACCUUUCUUUUUCUGCAAUUCUUUUUCUUGGUCCCUUCUUUGACCGUAUUUGGAAUGGAAUGCACAUGCAUUUUACAUACACCAUUUGCCCCCCUACCCCCUUUUUUCAUCUUAAAUACUCAUUAUACUCGGAUUUCGGUAUUAACCCGAAUAUGAACAUAAGUCCAACAUCGAUAUAUUAAACUUUUUUUCAAUUUUUUUUCGUUGCUUAUUUGUGAGAUUUAAGACCUGCAAUAAUGGUGUACUAAAAAUGACCUAUAAUAUAAAAGUGAUUGGAAUAUUCCCCACUUUUUCUUUUUGGUAGAAAAGCCCCCACUCUUGUUUUUUACUUUCUCUACAUUCCAGAAGGUAAGAACAAACUAAUAAUAUGGUCAAUCAACAUAUAUAUACAUAUAUACUCAUGGCUUCCAUAUAAACCUGCCAAGCCUGCAAAUAUGUCUGCUGCUUUUUUCUGGUUUCAUACACCACAGCAAUAUGCCAAAAAAGUAAAAGUAAAAAAAGAAUGAUGGUGCUAUCAGAUUAUCAAUGAAACCAACUUUUCUCAGUAAAAUCAUUAGCAAAAGCAGCAUGGAGAAGAAACAAAGCAUAUUCUGAUUCUAUUUUUUUCACUUUUGUUUUUUCUCUUUACAUUUAAUUCUUCUAUCACUUUGGUAAGUAUCCAUAAAACCCUUUACUUCUCUUUGCAUUUAAAACAAAAAGUUAACAAACAUAUAAUGAUUAUAUAUUUGACCAUACUUUCAUCUUUUCUUUAGUUCAUCAAAAGAAUAUUUCCCCUAAAACUAAACAAAUCAUGAAUAAAACAAUCUUCAAGUACCCUCUCUCAACUUCUUUUCCUGCAAAACCAAAAAAAGGGUUACAUCAUUAUCGUAUAAGGAAGCUAAUUUUUGGCUUUCUAAGUAUGAAGAAGUAGUCAGCAGUACCUGUGGAGAACUAUCGGAGCUUGUUUCGAGAUGGAUUAGAAGUGGACUUUUUUGUUAAUCAGUUGCAUUGAGAUUGGAAUGUUGUAAGCUGACAUCAUGUUAUGAUUGAGUUGGAAUUCAAGUUAGUUAAGUUUACACCUGAUCAACAAACAUGAAAACAAGAUUAGUCGAAGAAAUUAAGAAAUAGUAAACCGAAAAGGGAAAGAAGAAAGAAGAGAGAACCAACCUUUUUUUGGUUAGUGAGCAAAGGAAUGUCUCUAUCACCCUCAAAAAUGGAUCUCCUCAAAGUGAAUUUUACCUGCACAUGGGACCAACGUUAUCAAACACUUCAAAGCUGGUUUUUCAUGUAGAUUGUCGUUAUCUAUUGUCAAGUGGCCAUGAUUCAGUUUCUAGGAAGAUAUGUUGAAGGCAAUCUUUUCCAUGUUUAAAAGCUAUGGGAGUAAAGGAUUAAAGUCCAAGGACCACAAUCACAAAGGAGUCUUGAGUAUGGAUACUUGUUUUAUUUCAGACAAAUCUGAUGCACUAGAUGGAAAAAGGAAAAGCAAUAUGCUCGAUAAGGAUUUACCUGAUUGAUUCAGGAGACAAAUUAUUGCUGAUAGGUAGAAGCACAUUGAAAUUCUUGCCAAUUGAUAUUUAAGCUCCUGGUUUAAACAAUAGGAAUCACUUAAGUAAUGGUUAAAAAAAACAAAUAUUUGCAAAUAUAAAUAGGCAUUCACGUGUGUGUGUGUGUGUGUGUGUAGAGAGAGAGAGGAUACAUUGAAUGCAGGUCGUAACCUCCUUUAGAAAAAAUUUAGCUCGGUGUAUCCAUGCGCAUACGGCAAAAGCUCCUCUACCUCAAUCCUCCUCGAACUAGAAUAACUCAUGCUCUUCUUAAGUUGACCACGGCUUGACUCAACCUCAGCCCAAAAUAUACCAUAAACCGGUCUGUGAUCUGAGAACUUAGAUUCCCCACGGACAUAAGAUAAUUGAUGAAUACCUUCUCCGUACCACAGUAUCCGGUCACACCUUCAUACAAAAAAAGUUCAAGUCAGUACACUUCUUCAGAGCUAUAGUUUUAACUACUUUAUCGUGCCAUACGGCGGAGGCAGUUUCUUACCAAGCUGGAGUUCGACAUUUCUCCUUUGGGUGCAUAGCAUCCCCUGUAUACCUAUCUGAAUUAGUUGAAUACUUGUAUGUUGGUGGGAAGUAAAUCUUUCCUUCAUGCCAUCCCUUAAAAACGCGCCCUCUUUUUUGCUCUAUCCUUAGCUGCCAAAUUAUCAUCAAUGAAAGGUUUUCUUAUUAAAUUUGACAGUAGAAUUUGUUGUACGUUAUUCAGGGCCUGUGAAGAUAUGGAGAAGUAAAAGCAUACCUGGUCAUUUUCUAACAAUGCUCUCCAGUUCUGCAUUUCAACAAGUGCCUUGGCAGACCGGUAAGAGAGAGCAAUACGAUAAUUCAAAUCCCCGAGCCAAAUUAUUUGACUGGAUUAAUAUAUAAUUAGUCAGUAUAUGCAAAAAAAAUAAAAAAUAAAAAAGCAUAUGAGAACAUAAACAUUGAUAUUUUUAGCAUAUGAACCAAGUCCUUACUCAUGCUCGAGGAUUGUUUCAGGGGACUUCUCAUUAGCUUCACUAUGAACCCGUGGAAACCUCGUCUUCUUAAGAAUCUCCAUAACAUCCGAGUUUCUCCUUAGCUCAUCACCCUCCUUUUGUCCCGAAGUUAAAUGAGUGCAAAUGAAGCAAAAGCUUGUUUGAUGUACCAACAUACUGACAGAUAUAGAACCCUGGCAAACCAAGACAUAUAGGUUAAACAGAAGUGCUUCUUAUUCUCAAGCAUAAGAUAAGUAAAUUAGAUACGGUCAAGUAAUACCUUAUUUCCAAGAUAACCCAUCAAUCCUCUGCCAACACAAGAUACUUUCAUGUUUUUAAUAUGAUCUCUCAACUCGCUUCUCACCCAAAUUGUGAUAAAUAUACCAACCAUUUGCUUACUAGCCACUAAGCAGUACCUUGAAUGUCCAGGCAUCCUAUAUCCCGGUUCAUUCGAUGCAGAUCCACCAUAGGACAUUGGCGAGUGCAAUACAGUACUUGGUGAUUCUGUGAUUCCAUUAUCAUCAUCUGAUGAACCCCAUCUGGAGUAAUCACUAGGUCUAGAGUAAUCGCUAGGCCGGGAGUAAUCACUGGGCCUAUUACCCCAUCUAUAACUAGAAUCAUAGUCACUUGGCCUAUGACCAAAUAUUACCCUAUCACAAACACUGAACCGCCUGUCAAGUCGUGGUUGUGGAAUCGAGGGAUCAUUGUCCAUUCUCCAACUGCUGGUUGUCUGGAAUGAUCUGCGGUGAAAGAAAGACGGAUUCUUCUGCCUAGAUGACCCUUCAAAAUCAGCAUCCAUCUCCACAAUAGGCUGAGGAACAGGAGAUGGUGUAUAGCAACCCCCACCUCCACUUGUUCCGGGAAGAUUGUUAAGAGUCUUCCUAAUGAGAGACAACCAUUUUUUGGCCGGACCAUUGUCUUCUGCGCCCAAAAUAUUCCCAGCAUUCAAAGGAACUAUCUCUUGAAACCUGUAAGAAAUCAAUGAGGAAACAAAUUAUUCUAUGAACAAUUCAAAGUUUGGUAAACAAGACAUGAAGAUCAAAACCGUCAAAACAUACCCAAGGACAUAUAUAUCUGCAGGAGAUGAUGCAUGAAGCAAAUCUUCUAGAUUCAAAUUACUCAGUGGCGAUCUUCCGGCCACAUUCCAUGUAGAUGCAAAAAUGCUGCUCCAAAGGACAAUAGAAGAACAGUUGGUACUCAUGCAUCACAAAAAAAACAUAUAAUAUUUUUAGGAAAAACAUACCUAUAAUUUUCGACAUCUAUGAUUCGAGGGUGAUCAAGAUUCAUUCUCCCUCUCCGGCUCCGACUUUGCUCCGUAUUCCUACUAAAUUUUUCUACAAAUCAUAGCAGCAUUUAGACAAUUAAUAGAAAAACAACAAAAUAGUCCCCAAAAAAAUUAGUGAAAUAAGAUUAGGAACCUGUUUUACUCUUUUUGAUUGUGCAUGGCUCCCUUUCUGAGAAGCUAGUCCUGUAUUCCACUUCACCUCCUGAAGAUUGAAAAACAAAAAAAACAAAGUUAUAUAUACAUGUUAUGAACCAGAACAGGAACUGUACCAACCAAAAAGAAUAAAAAUUGAAGUUACAAUGGAAUCAUUUUUAGGAUGCCUUGUCUGUUUUGAUGGGAAAUUGCAUGAAAAAGAGUACUUAAAAAUAGAAUCCAGGAAAAGACAAAGCCUUGAAAUAACCAAGUAAUCCAUUCUAAAUAAGUUAGCUUGGUCUGAACAGAUAAGAGGAAGAAUAUUCCCUUUCUUUUUUUGACAUGAAAGCUUGAGAUCCUAGCUAUUUUUUUUAUGAAUACCAAGCAAUCACUGUGAAAAUUAACGCUCCUCAAAGUACUCACCUCCUCCAAAAACAUGAUCAUCUGCUUGAAAAUCCUCAGUUUUGCUCUUGAUAUUGAACCAUUUUCUGACCAUCUUUUUGGACCAUGAGAGCUACACAAAAUGAAGGAAAUUUUAGUCAGUUAAAAACCUUCAAUUUUUUUUGUUCUUUCACAAAUUUGAGAAUUGAAAACCAGAAAGAGAGAAAGAGGAAGAAAGAAAAGAAAAGAAAAACCUUGCUUUUCUUGGCUUUCCCAUCUCUCAUUGUUGGACUUUUGCUUCAUACACCUCCAAAUUUACUCUUUUUUACUAUUCCCGAAACUCUCAACUUUGCUAACAAUCACCAAGAAAAAAAAAACACUGUUGCUACUUACUACAACCCCAUAUAGGCAGCAAACUCCACCGAUCCUUCCCCGAUUUCAGGCCUUUUUUAACUUAGAUUAAAAACAAGCUGAAUUAUUUGAUCCCAGAUAAUCUUCAACUAAGAAAACAAAUGUCCCAAGUCCCCUACCUUCACUUUCCUCAAAAUCAAAGGCUAAAGCUAAAGCAAAGAGAGCUAAACAAGAAAUGGGUUUGCCUUAGUUUCUUGUUCCCAGUAAGUGAAAGCAAAGAAACAAGCUCAAAAAACCCAGAAAACAUGAAGCUCCAACGACUAAUAUAAAAGAAAAAGAGAGAGAUAGAGACAACACUUUAAUGCUAGGAAAUAAUAUGAAAAGAAGGGAGAUUCUUGAAGCUAUAACAAGACAAUGUGGGCAAACAUAAAGAGAAAGCAAGGGGAAGAAAGUCUAGAGAGAGAAAGCUCGUAAGACAAACACAAGCAAACGCAAAGGCAAAGCAGCCCCUUCUCUCUCUCUCUCUUCCUUCUCUUUACUUUGUUAGAAAAAUAAAGAGAGCAGCAGCACACCUCGUUAUCAGUAAAAAAGCAAAGUAAUGAAAUUUUGAAUGGAAUAAAGUGCAAAAUAAAUAUAGAGAGAAACUCUGUCACACACUCUCUUGUUUAUGUUUGCUUUUUUUUUUUAUGGAUUUUUCUUUUAAGAGAUUUAAAAAUUUAUAGAGAGGCUUUUAGUUCCAUCUAAUGUUACAGGCUAUUUCAACAUGAAUGAAGCAAAGAGGUAAUGUCGUUUUGUACCAUGUACUGUUAAAACGACAAGGGUUUAUGGUCAGCAAAGUGUUUGAAGGGGGGUUUCAAAUUUAAGCUGUCUUUGAAUCACUUUGGGCCAAUAUACUUUUUCCUAUGUGAGUUUAGGUUUAUUAUUCGAUUUGAUAUCCAGGUCAAAUAAUAUUUACUUGAUCUGAUAAAUAUUUAAUAGGUGUAUUCUAAUAAAAAAGCCAAAAAUACUUAAUUAAAAUUAAAAAUAAAAUUCAAGUAUAAAUUAAAUAUUGAAACUAAGUUUAAGUGCUUAAUUUUGGAAAAAGAAUGAAGUAUCAAAUUGAAAAAUUUUCAAUUACCAUUUUAAAUGUUGAAGCCAGAUAUUAAAGAGAAGGAGAUAGGACUGUUAUGGAGCGAGGCUUUUUUAAAUUACAAAAAUUAUGUGUAAAUCUCAUCAAAUAUCGAGUUGAGAUUAAAAAAUAUUUACAUGAGAGAUUAUGAUUGUAUUUAAAUGAUAGAAAUAAAACGGAGACAAGCAUAUAGGUAUUGCAUGUAGAUAUGCAUACACGAUUUCGAUUUUGUAGGAAUAUAGCUUACGAGGACAGGAAGCAAGUAUCACUUUUUGCUCCGAGGGAAGCCCUUAUUCACGCUAAGAAAAGCGGUUGGGUAGUGAGAAUGAUCGGGAAAAACAGGAAGCUUCUAAACCAAACGAUAGACACUAAGGCAGAAGGAGUAAACUGGAGAUAUAGGCCAUUGGUGGAGGACAUCAAGAGGCUGGGAAACGUAUGCUAUGAGGAAGAAGGAUUGGAAAUGACAACGCAGAUCAAUGAGGAAAAUUCAAGAUGCUCAACAUUUGCCUCUAAUUCCCAUACUAAUGUUGUUUUAAAUAAUAACUUUAUUAUGAAUAAUAGCCUAUGAAACAUGUCUUGAUAUCAAAAAAAUUAAACUCUCGAAGUCAUUUAUUGGUCUUUCAUCCAAGUAAAAAAAGCAAUUAAAGAAGGUUCAUCUGUCUUUGUAUCUGUAGAAAACUAGAAAUUUUGAGGUUUUUCAAGAUUCCCCGUAAAAUAUUUUCUUUGGGUUAAUUCCAUUAAAAUCUUCAUAUUAUUAUAUCGAUCUUAAAUUAGUCUUUCAACUUCAAAUCACUCUAAUUAAAUCCUUAAAGAAUCUGUAUAUAUCAACCAGAAUCUUCAAUCAAUUUAAUUUCAAUUUAGACAUUAAACAUAAAUACAUGGAUCAAACUGUAAACAUAUUUAUAAUUUAGUUCACGUCUUAAAUAUAUCUCUCCUAAAUGAAUGGACUAAUUAUCAGAAUAGUCCGAAUGGUACUGAUUGAUAUGAUAAAGACUAAAUUAAAAUCCGGGCCAUAGAAUAUUUGGUUGUUAACCAAUCUAACUAUUUUCAUUAAAUACAGGGUUUAAUGGCCUUGUAAUCGAAGGCAAAUGCCCCAGUCUUUAAGGUGUCGCUGUUAUUUAUUCUUCAUCACUCACUCACCUACUACUUUCUUUUUUUUUAUCGAAACACCUACUACUUAAAUAGAAGCUACUUUCAAUAGGACCACAUUUUUGGAUUUAUCUAAUCUGGGCUUUUUUUUUUCUAUUAAAUUUCAGCCACUUAUGAGAGCCGAAUGAGGAGCCUCUAGGGAAAAAAGCAAGCUUAAUUCUAAAUUUCUUUAAUGGUAGUGUGGAGGAUAUUUCUAAAGUCUCCGCCGUCUAGGGCGGCUCCUCGGGCCAUAAACAAUCCUUGAUUAUAUAAACUCCAAUUUUCUCUUUAUAUUUUUAUAUAAAAAAAUGCAGUCAAACAUGUGCUUCAUUUAAGAUUUUAAAGCUAUGUAUAUAUAUACAUAUAGUUUGCUAUUUUGACUAGUCUUGGCAAAGACUGCAUUUUAGAAUAUGGUUCACGGGCUUUUUUCUUUAUUGAGCCGACUGCUGAAGAACAUUCCAUAUGUUGGGAUUAGGGUUAUAAAUUGUGAAUUCUUUUAUUUUUAUUUGUUUAUUGAAUUUAAAUUUUUAUUACAUUAUUAUUAUAAAUAUAGGGGUGGAAUAUUUUUCUUGUUUUCUAAAGGUAUUUACAAGAAUGAGCUCAGUAAUUAAUCUUCCGAUUUUGUAGGCUCAUUAAGGGGAUAAAUAUUGAUCACAAGAUUUAAAACUAUUUUAUAUUCAGAGCGAAGAUCGAAUCCUCGAUUAUUAGUUAAAGUAGGAAAAAUCUUUAUUAUUUCACCUAACUCCCGUGAUAUAUAGAGAUAGAAUAUUAAACCAAUAACGUGAUGGGUUUAUUAAUAUAGUCAAGUUUGCAAUUAUGAAAAACCAAUAAUGUUUUUGUAUAAUCACAAAACUAAAUUCAAACAUGGUGAUGAAAAUACCAAACAAACUAUUUUUUUGGUCAACCAAAAUGGAUUAAAGUUUUUAGCUCAAAUAGCAAUGAAUCAACAUAGAACGAUAGGAAAUGCUUGCACCCAAUUUUUUUUCAAAGCAUGAAAUGAUGAGUGGACUUCCAUCUGUUCCAACAACGUUUCAUUUAAUCGGUGGCAUAAAAUAAAAUUAUUUGACUCCAUGAAAUCGAUUGGGACGUGAUUUCAGAUUUUAUGAUUAGAUAUUUUAAAAAUAAUUAUAAUUCGAUAUUAAUAUUUUUAAUUCCAAAAAUAAAAAUAAGAAGUUGUCACGUAUUUUUUUUUAAUUAAUAAUUUUGUGUUCGUUUUAUGAUUUAUGUUGGAUAUUUUUAACUGUUUAAUUCUAUUUAUAGAAUUAAAAAACUUUAAAAAUUUAAUAUUAUAUUAAAUUUCUGAAAUGUUCUGUCGUAUUUUAAUGUGGGUCUCGUUGGGAAUCAUUUGAAGCAAUAAGAAGAAAAAGCAAAAACUUGAAUAAUACAAAGCAACAUGUAAAAAGUGAUUGCUUGUAUUAAAGACCAAAUGAAAAAGAAGAAGAAAGGGGCCAUAUUUGUGGUAUUCGGAUAUCUAAAGAUCAAAGGGAAUGACCCUACUUUGGGAAAUCCCUGUUUUUUGCAUUCACAACUUGUACUUCAAUUUACAUAAUUUUUUUAUAUUAUUUUUGAACAAUUUUAUUAUAGGUUUUAAUUUUAUUUUCUGUUUUUUUGACACAAUACUUAGAAUUAUCUAUAGUUUCUCCUCAACAUUUAAGUAUGAAGAUUAUUUGCUUCAGUGCACUUGAACCAACGUCUUCCUGUACUAACAACAAUGUCUAUGCCAAUCGAGCUAAGACUCAAUCCACAACGUUUUUAAAUAAAUUAGUUAAAGGUGUAAUACGUGUCUAGUAGAUUAUAGUAAAAUAAAUUAAAUAGAUAAAUGUUACAUAAUUAGUAGGGGUUUUGGUUUUCCUAAAAAUAAGAAAAUUGCUUAUACAAUUCCUUUAAUUUCUAAAAAAAUCAUAAAUUAAUAAAAUGAUAAAAUCAUAUUUUCACCUUUCAAAUUUUUGUAUUCGUUUUUAAACCCUAGAACAAUUUAUUGGCUUUACCCUUUCCACAAUAUAUAUAUAUAUAUUGGUAUCUAAGGAACAAGCUUCUUUUGGAUUCAAGUAAAACAUGAUGAAAGAAGAAAUUGGAUGCCGCAUUUUUCUUUCUUGCCUCAGUGUAUGGGAGACAAAAAACACUGUUUGUUUAGUUAUUGACAUUUUUUUUUACUUAUUUUGAUUUGUUUGUACAUAAAUGAAUUUUUUUACUUAAAAUGUAAAAUUUAUUCUAGUAAUUUCAUACGCAUAUAUGCUUAAUUUCCAUCCCUAGAACUUGCCCUUGAUUAAAUUGUUUUAUGGUGCAGUACUAGUCUAAAUUCAAUUCAUUUGAUAUUUAAAAAAUAUUUAAAUAAAUUAUUGAACAUUUUUUUUUGACUUACGGCAUAUUUGCUCAAAUUAGUUUAUUUUAUUAGUAGUAAUAAUAUACAUAUUAUAUAAUAAUCAAUCCUUCAUAAAAUUUUAUUGGUUUCUCAAAAAAUAAUAUUUUUUUCGUAAGAAUAUACAUAUUAUAUAAUAAUCAAUGUCACCUCACAACAAAAGAGAAUCUUUCAUCCAUAAAAUCAUGAAUUGCAGAUAACACCUAAACCAUAUAAAAUCAUUUGGACAACAAAAAUCUGUUUAUCAAUAAAAAAUUCUCAGAAUUUCAAUUAUAAAAAUAUCAAAUUUAACAUACGAAUCUAGAACUUCAAAAAAAUAAUUUUAUAAACAUAUAUCCAAAGUAUGACUUUCAUGUAAAUAAGGUAUUUGAGAAGGAAAAAUGAAGAACAUAAAGGGUUAAAAAAAACAAUAAAGAAUGGGGAAGAAGAUUUUGUAUGCUUUAUGCUUUUUGUAUUUUGGUGGGUGAAUCUUAAGUUAAAGCCUUAAAGGCUAAAAUUAUUAUGAUUUACGAGGCAGCCAAAACAGGGUUAGUAGUCGUUUUCUCUUUGAGUUUUUUUUUUUUAAUUUAAAUUUAUUAUUGGUGCUUUUUUUUUUCUCUUGCCUUGAAAAGACUCCAUUCCCAUUGUUUUUUUUUUAAAUCUUUUUCUUUACCAAUGUUUCUAUCUAUUUUUGUUCUUUAAGGUAUGGGUUGACGGCUCAUAAUAUGUCACUUUCUUUGGCAUGUGUCAUAUCUACAUGCAUGAUUAUAAAUAUGAUAUAAUAUAUAGUUGAAUGUAAUGAUAAGAUACAUUACAUCUUUAAGGGGAGGACCCAGAUUCAAAUCUUAAAGAUGAUAUUGUUGAGAGGAGCAGUUAUGAACCCCGAAUAUGAAUCGUAAAAUAGACAUAAAAAAUAAAAAAAAAAUCAAUAAAUUGAUGAUUAAAGUGUAAUGACUCUAUAUUGUUAAGAUUGAGAAUGUAAAUUCGAAUUUUUUUAAUUUUUAAAAACUUUGAAUCAUAAUUAGUCUCAAACUUAAUAUUUUAAAAAGAAUCGAAUGAAAAUGAAAUUGUUAUAACAAAACAAUUUAUUUGGCUUAAUGGUAUUGUCUUUGAUGAAAAACGAAAACACUAGAAAAUUAAAAUUCGAAUAUUAAAAUAUUAUUACACAAUAUUCUAUUAAAAUAAUUAAAAGUAUCUACUUCGAUGUCAUUUAUAAUACUUUUGAUUGAGCUCGGAGAAGAAGAGACAUUGAUUUAAUUAUGGAAAAAUAAAAACAACCCUUUUUAAAAAUAAAAUAAUAAAAUGAAUAGGAUUUUUUUAUGUAUUUUGCUAUUUUUCUCUUAAAAACAAAUUAAAUAUAAUUACUCGUUAUCUCCUUUUCUCAAUAAUUAUCACAUUAAAUUCUUUGUAUUGUCCUAAAAACCUACCCAUUUAUUUUUUGAAUUUUUGAAAUAGUCCAUCAAAUUUUGAUUCGGUUGGAUUCUAUUUUCGGGUUUUAUUAAUUUUUUAGUUUGCAUUUUAGUCUCAUGUUGAUAAGAUGAAUCUUAUUUUAGGGAUUUUGAAUAUUAUUUAAUAAAAUUUUAAAGUUUAUUUUCAUAAAUAUUUCUAAUAACUUUCAAGAUUUUUUAAGUUAUUUUAAAUAAUUAAAUUAAUUAUAAUUUAAAUAAAAGUAUAAUUCAAUUCAGUUUCUAAUAAUCGUGAUUUUUUAACUCAUAAUUCAUGUCGAUUUAGCUCUGACGAUUUUCAUUCAAGUAAAAUCAUUUUCUUUAUUUAUCCACUCUCUUUAUUAUUUUUAAUUUUCUUUAUUUUCAUAACAGGAGGAGAAUUAUAUAUUGAUAUAAUUAAAAUUUUAUGAAUUUGGAUAGAUUAUGCAUCCAUGAGACCAGAGCUAGCUCUGGAAUCUUGAAAUGAAUUGAUUAAAGUGAUGAAUAUUUUGAUAUGGAUUGACUUUAAUAUACAAUGAGAGUAUAUGUAUAUAUUGAUGACGCAACUAAAAAAAUGGGUCAGGAGAAACACACACCACUUGCUCUUCAAACAGUCUUUUUCAACAUCAUGUCCCUCUCUACCCAACUCUUUACUUCCCAUUUAUUUUUUCCUUUUAAUCAGAUUUCCAUGGAUUCUUCUGUCUUACAUAUUUUGACUAUAAUCUAUAAUUCCUUUUUAUAUUAUUAUAAGCAAAAUAUAAUAAGAUUUAUAUAUAUAUAUUUCCUUGACUUUUUAUUUCCUAUAGAAUAUUCUUUAACCUUAAUCCUACGUGAAGUUAAUCAUUUAUUCCAUGACUUUUUCAUUUCGUCGGGGAUUGGACAAAUAUUAGACUAUCCCAAAGGGGACAUGUAGUUAAAGAAGACAUGUAUCAAUUUAUAAAUUUGGUGGUUGUUUUUAAAAAAUAAUAAAUUCCGGCAAUAAAUGAUAAAAUAAUCCAAUUUAAUUAUUAUUUUAAGAAAAUUGUUUAAUUUACGUUUUAUAUUAUUUUUAUUUCUUAUACAAAUCCUACUUUUAUUUAUUAGUAUUAUUUUUUUUCCAACUAUUAAAUCGAAAGAAAACUCGUUUAAACAUGUUAGAAUUCCCAUUUUCCUUAUUAUGACAACACCACCAAUUGAACUAAAAGCUCGAUUAUGUUAUAUUAUUUUUACUUAAAUUAAAGAAAAAGUAAUCAAUUAAUUAUUUCUUUGAUUAUAAGCUUAGUAUAUUAUCCACUUUCAGUAUGUUUUAUUUUAAAUAAUAUAUAAAAUAUGCAUGCAAAAUUAUUAUUUAGUAUAUUGAUGUUAAGGUAUUUUUAAUUUUUUUUGGAGAAGUCAAUAAUUCUCUUAACAUAUUCAGUACUGUUUUUAUGAGAUUUUGUUUUUCGACCCAAAGUGAUAAAUUUAAUAUACCGAAAACAUUUGGUCAAGUCGGACUGUAAAGGACACGUAAGAAAAUGUUAACAUCUGCUUCCACUUUGAAUGGAUGAUACUUCAAACGCAAUUAAAUUUUUUAUAAACUUCACAAAUAGUAUUAAAAUCCGUCAUAUGUCACAGUUAUUGGACCUUCAUCACCAAUGUACCAAAAUAUACAUCACCUAAACAAUGGCCUAGAAGGCCCAUAACUAAAUCUGUGAAAACCCUAAAUUAGUCCAAGUAAUUUAGUCCACAAGUUACAGUCAAAGAUACUAUAAGCCCACAAUACUUUUUGAGGCUAACUUAUAUAACACUUGUACAUAGUCUUAAACAGAUCCAUAACCGAUGUGGAAUUUCAAUGCAUUGGGCUUAAUCCAUCUGAAAGUUCAUUUUUCCCUCAAAGCCGAACACAACCAGCGAGGCCUCCGGCUUUAGAGUCGGCGGAAACCGCGAACUCAGGAGGAGAGAAACCAGCGAUCCUUCUCAUCUACCGCAUAUUUCCUGGGUCUUCGUAUCUGUCUUAUGAUGUCUAUUUUCUUCGUCUUCUCAUUUCCUUUUGCAACUACAAACAACAAUUCUUAAUAUUCAAAAAUAAAAAAAAAAAAUGGCGUCUUUACUUCUUCGUCAACGAAGAGUUUCAGUUUUGGGUGUUUCCCGGAUUCUUCAAGGUUUGAAUUUCAACCUUAUUUAUUUGAAAAGAGAAAAGGGAAAAAUUUUCCCACUUUUUGUUAUAGAUUCAUUGUGAACAUGUGAAAUUUGAUUAGAUAGAUGGAAUUCUUGAUUGCCCAUUUCUUAGUUUUUAUUGCAGGAGCUUAGCAAAAUAAAAAUAAAAAGUUCUGGUUCAGUUUUGAUUUACAUUUUUAAAGUUUAAUGUUUCAGCUGUUAAUGGUGAUUCCUCUCGACUACAACCGGAAUCGAAUUGCAGGACAUUUGCUAGAUUUGGUGUAAUAAUAAGGAAUUACAGCAGUGGAAAGGGUACUGCAAAGUUCGAUUUUACUGAUCUCACGUAAGAACUAUAUGACUAACAGCUAUUAAUAGUGAUUUGUUUGGCUUGGAUAGGCAUAGGCAGCCCUUUUUUUGGUUUCGAAUUAUGUUGGUUAAAAAUCUACAAUUUGAGGCUUGUUCCAAUAGCACCAUUUCAUUCUAGUUAUAGGAAUACAAAAUCUUGAAAGACAAUAGACUCUACAAAUAUAAAUGUCUAGAUUUUUAAAUUUGAUUAAUUAUCUGUGUUUUAGUUUCGAAUACUAAUUUUCUGGAUUAUGUAACUAAAGCAUACCUGUUUCCGUUCUCCGAAUUCAAAACUUAUUGGCUAUAAGUUUUUCUUACUACAGGGUUAUAGUCCUUGUUCAAAAUUUCCAUUAAUUGGGAGAUUAUAAAAAAAGAAAGGAAGAUGUUUCUGCUCACUGAAUUUUGUUAUGUAAUUUCUGUAUAUCAUUGGCAUUUUUGUGAAAUUAUUUUUUGUUUAUCUCAGCCGACCUCAUACAUGGUAUCCUAAUGCUCGAAAAAAGCAACGCAAGGUUUUCUUGCAUGUAGGUCCGACAAAUAGUGGUAAAACAUACCAUGCUCUGAAGCGACUUGAAUCAAGUUCUUCUGGUAUAUUUACAAUGCUACUUUUACCAGGACUGGCUUACUUUUUUUUUUUUUGGUAGUCAGUGAAUGAUUGAACGGGAUUGAAACUAGUAAAAUAAACUGAAAAACUAUUUUUGGUUGGUUCAUUCCCUAUUCAGGUGUAUAUUGUGGCCCUUUAAGAUUGCUGGCAUGGGAAGUGGCAAAACGGUUGAACAAAGCGAGAGUUCCCUGUGAUUUAAUUACAGGACAAGAGAAGGAUGAAGUGGAUGGUGCAAAGCAUAAGGCUGUAACUGUUGAGAUGGCUGAUGUAACAUCUGAUUACGAAUGUGCUGUUAUUGAUGAAAUACAGGUAACAUCUGAUUACGAAUGUGCUGUUAUUGAUGAAAUACAGGUAAGUCCAUAUUUAAAUGAAAGAUUCACAUACAAUAUUUACCAAGUUCACAAGGAACAUUGCUGUUAAUUAUUCUCUCAGUGUGCGUGCAGAUUUGUUAAACAUAAAUUGAAUAGAACGACUUAUACGAUUCUUGUGCAACUUAACAGAAACUGUUUUAAGCAUUUUCCCUUAAUGGCAAGUCACUUAGUUUCCAGUUAAAUUUCUCUUUCUAUGCAGAUGUUGGGCUGUAAGACUAGGGGUUUUUCAUUUACACGUGCCCUGUUGGGAAUUGCUGCUGACGAACUUCAUCUUUGUGGAGAUGCAGCUGCUGUUCCUCUUAUUCAAGAAUUAUUGAAAGUGACUGGUGAUGAUGUCCAGGUAAGCAAUAGUAUGGAAUUGCUGUUCUUCUAUAUAAUGCACUGUUGGAUAAGUAGAAAUAUUGUUUUUUUACCGGUAUUUGGUGUCUAGCGUUACUGACUAGUCAGAAGAAUAACUUUCUUGUUGCGGCCAUGCUCGUGACCCACUUUUGAUAUAUCUGUUCUAUAUUGUCGGUAUUUUGCAUCACAUGGUUUUCUAAAAUCCCAGGUCCGAUCUUAUGAGAGGCUUCUACCAUUAGUUCCCUUGGAAGUUCCACUUGGUUCUUUUUCGAACAUAAGAACAGGUGAUUGCAUUGUAAGUUUUUCACGCAAGGAGAUAUACAAAUUGAAGGUCAGUAGUGCUUGCUUUAUUUUCUCUUGGCUAACUACUGAUAUGUUUCAGUACGUUAAAACAUUAGUUUUUCUUCUUACUAUUUUGUGUCAGCGGUGUCUUUCAUAGAAAAGAAAUUGAAUAUGCUUUCUGAUUUCGCCAUCUUUCAUAGAAAAAAAUUGAAACUGGGGGAAAGCAUCUUUGCUCCGUGGUUUAUGGUUCAUUGCCACCAGAGACUCGGACAAGACAGGUAUUGUCUCUUUCUGGCUUUAAUUGAUCACCAAGUAUGUGUGUGUGACUGAUGGUAAUUAUAUUCUCAUUGUUGCUCGUUUAUUUAUUUAUAUUUGUUUAUUAUUAAUACGGCCUUUAGGAUUGCAGGCAACGAUGUUUAAUGAUGCAAGCAGUGAGUUUGAUGUUCUUGUGGCCAGUGAUGCAAUUGGGAUGGGUCUUAAUCUGAACAUUUCUAGGAUAAUUUUUUCAACAAUGAAAAAGUUUGAUGGUCUGGAAAUGCGGGAUCUUACAGUACCAGAGGUCAAGCAAAUUGCAGGUUCCCAUUUCAUUUUUAGCUGUACUUUGAAAUUUUAUUUCUAUAUGAACAAUGAACUUUUUUGGUCAAUUUUCCGUCUUAAGACAUUCGCUAAGGGUGGUAGAAAAAUAUAACAAGAAUCUGCUUGCUCGAGUUGUCAACUGCCAAUUUUCUUAUUUCAUGGGGGCAGACCCUGUAAAGUUGAUAAAUUUUCAUUAGACGGCUUUAUAUUCUUGUAGGGAGAAGUGGUAGGUACGGUUCAAAGUAUCCCAUGGGUGAAGUAACCUGUUUAGAUGCAGAAGAUCUACCUUUGCUUCAUUCAUCGUUGAAAUCCGCCUCUCCUACUUUACAGGUGAUUGUUUUAUCACUAACUUUCCUAAAAAUACCGCCUUGAUCUGACGUUCCAUUUUCAAUGGACCUGAAUAAGCAGCUUUUAUAUUUAUUUGCAUAUUGGUUCAGCAUUUUUUGUAUCUUGACUCUGUCAUUUUUACAACACAGCAAGCUGGAGUAUUUCCAUCCUUUGAUUUCAUUUAUAUGUAUUCACGUUUACAACAGAAAAGAGGUCUCUAUCAGAUAUUGGUAGGUUAUCUUAUGAUAUUAUUCCGUCUAUCUCCUUCCUCUUGUUUUUCCUUUUUUAGUGACAGCUAAAAUGAACCCAUUGAGGGUUAAAAAUAAUUCGAACCCCACUGCCCUGUUUUUGAUUGUUGCAGGAAGAUUUUCUCGAGAAUGCAAAACUAUCCGAUAACUAUUUCUUCGCUAACUGUGAAGAAAUGUUGGUAAGUUUAUUCAGUCAUGUUCCCUUUUACAAAUCAAAAUUUCUUGUCAGAUAACAAUAUCUCCGGUUAUGGAUAUUUAGCUUUUACAAUAUGAAUCAAUGAGUGAUAAAAGGCUGUUUAUUGUCAUCAGAAAGUUGCUGCUGUAAUCGAUGAACUGCCUCUAAGUUUGCAAGAUAAGUACCUUUUCUGCCUCAGGUAACAUCUUUCAAUCUUGCUCCCUCCAACAACCCGAACUUUGUUAUUUGAGUUUGUCUGCUAGUUUUACCAAUGCAGUUUCGAGUUUGCUUAUUAUUAUUAUUAUUAUUAUUAUUAUUAUUAUUAUUAUGAACUUGCUUGGAAUCAACUGGCUAACACAGGUAAAUCUUUGUGCAGUCCAGUUGACAUGAAUGAUGAAAUUUCAUCUCAGGGUCUAACACAGGUAAAUAUUUGUAUACAGUCUUGAUUAUCUUGAAUAUGGAAACUAACGGCUUUCUAUUCUAUCGUUGUGGAUCAGUUUGCCGAAAAUUAUGCAAAGAAAGGCCUCGUUCGUCUUAAAGAAAUAUUCUCACCUGGUUCACUUCAGGUGCCUAAAACGCAUUCUGCUCUCAAGGAGCUUGAAUCCAUUCACAAGGUAUGAGUUUGUUUUUCUCAUGCGUUGUGUGUAAGCUUCGGUUGAGUUUUUCAUUUGGAUGAAUCGUUUCCAAAUUUAUUGUUGUUUGCUCCAUCUGAAGGUGUUGGAACUCUAUGUUUGGUUGAGUUUUCGUUUGGACGAAUCGUUUCCAGACCACGAGUUGGCUUCAUCACAAAAGGCCAUCUGCAGUAUGUGAGUACCCUUUGCCAUACUUAAUCACUUGCUUUGCUUUCCAUUGUUAACCUUACUAGUAAUGUUUUGGAUUUGUAGGUUAAUUGAGGAAUUCCUUGAAAGGCUUGGUUUCCAAAACCCAACAUCAAGAAAGUUAAAUUCAUUAAUGGCAAAAAAGAGAAGACAAUACCUCUGAUUAAAUGUAAACUACUAUUACCAUGUAUUUAUCCAUUAACCCCAUCACCCUGUUCGUUCCCACCACAUAUACCUUUCUGUUUGUCAAACGGAUUUGUUUGUCAAAUUCGGACUCGAGAUCUCAAAGUUUGAAUCUUGAAGUUUUUCCGAUGGAAAUUUCCUGUUUAUUUAUUUUUAGUUAAAUUACACUUGUAAUCGUCUAAUUAUUAGUUACUUUUUUAUUGAUCACUUAUUUAUGAAAGUUAUUAAAUGGUUAUCUAAUUAAAUAUUUAAUUUUACAAUUUUAUUUUUCUUUGUGACUGUUCGCUUAAAAGGCUAAUAAACAUAUUUAUCAACAAAAUUUAAUUGAAGACAUAUAAAAAAUGAGAACACUAAAAAUCUAAAAUAAUAAAUUUUAUUUGUUUUCAUAUUUUUUUUAAAUUAACUUUUACACAUUGAAUAAAUAUUGAGGUUAACUUUUCUUUUUGAAAAAAUUAAAAUUAAAAUUAAAAUAUUUGUAGGUAUUGAGAGUUAAAAUUGCAUAAUAACAAUUUUAAAAAUUGUCGCAUUUAAUCAGGUGAUAAUUAAAAAAACUAAAAUAAAAUCAUAUGGUAACUUUCAAAUAAUUAACAAAAAGAAUUUACUAUUAAUUGAAUUAGUAGGAAUAGCUUUUUUAACUCAAUUCAUUUCAUUAACAAAAUGUAAAAUGGAGUUUCAUGGUAAUGAAAUAUUAACACAAAUCAAAGUAUGAUAGUUACAUAACAAGAUCAAAACCUUUUAAUUUUAGAAUUCAUUAAGUGCUUCAUGCAACCACUCUUACGAUAUGGUAUUUUAUUAGGUCGGAAUUUGGACUGUGAGGCGAGAAUCAUGGACCACGAAGCGAGGUUAAACAUAAGCAUGUUGGCGUUUGGUCGUCCGGUAUCAUCCCUCCUCCUUUGCUUGUAUUAACAGCUUCUAGCAUUCUCACAACCUCCUCCAUUGCAGGGCGUUUCUCCGGAUUCGCAUCCCAACAUUUUUUCAUGAUGUUUGCUAAAGAAUUCGGGCAGCAUCUCGGGAUAUCUGGUCGUAGAUUCUGCCGAUAUACCAUGUAAAAUAGGUUUAAUAUCAUUUAACGAUAUACAUGUAAGCACAUAUAGAAUAGCAAACAAGCAAAAUGACUCCACAUUAUUAACAAUGGUGAGAGCAGCCGGAUACCAAGAUUAGGAUACAUGGAUCUUUUAUGCUUUACUGAUGAAAUAGAAUAACAAGCGAACUAACCUGUCGAACAACAGCAGAUGACACAUCGGCAAAGCUAAGGUCCGGAUAAGGCAUAUCGCAGCAAUAAAUUUCCCACAAGCAAAUGCCAAAGCUGUAGACAUCACAUGUUCUGUUGUAGGGUUUACCUUCAAGAACCUACAUCAUUACAGUUUACAGUUUAGCUUUCUUGUUUUAACAUGGAAAACAGGACCAAGUGUCUAGAAAAAAAAUACGUUCCCUCAAAUCCUCAUGCAAGGCCCGGUUGCAUAUCACAGAGAGAGGGAGGAUUAAUUCUUCAUAAGCCAAGUUUGCAAAUAAAUGAUUAAAGCUUUGAACCACUCAUGCUUUAUCAAUACAUUUAAGAAGGCAUACCUCAGGGGCCAUAUAGCCAAGAGUACCGGUUUCACCUGUCAUGUCUCGUGGAUUCUGAGCUUCAACGCGUGCAACACCAAAAUCUGCAAUUUUAAGGUUUCUAUGACCAUCUAGCAACAUGUUUUCUGUUUUGACAUCACGAUGUACAAUCUUUCUCGAGUGCAGGUAGCUGAGACUGCAAUUUGGAAUAAAAAUAAUCGUCAGAACAAAAAAAAAAUCUUUUACAGACUCUCAAAACCAAUGAUAAGAUGCAUCCCCUUACCCUCUGGCGAGGUCCAGAGCAAGUUGGACCACAAUCUUAAACGCGAGUUUCUUUCGCCUAUUUCUUAUCAAGUAUUGUUUCAGUGUGCCACCAGGGAGAUACUCGACAACAACACAGCAUGCUCUAGAAGGAAGGGGAUUGUGAUUGUCAGCCGAAGGAACUUUCGAAGGAAUCUUAAGGUUUGAAGUUCCCAUUGAGGCCCCUAUAAACUGUAACUCAAAAUUAAGGAGAAAAAACAUAGGUUACAACAGAAUUUUUUCAAAAAAGACGAGGAACUCUAACAUUUUAACCUUUACCAAGUUGAGAAUAGCUUAAUUAUGCAAAGAGAUUGCAUAAAAUUUUCAGUUAGAAGGCCAAGAUUACAUUAAGCCUUCCGGUGUUAUGAUGAUUUUCAACAAAUAAACAUUUCAAGGCAGAACAAAAAAGUUUGGACCUUUGUAACAUUAGGAUGAUCAAGCUUGUGCCAAACAGCAACCUCUUGCCGAAAUGAUGCUCGUAGAGCAGCAGUUUCGGCAGUUGUGGCGAUACCAUCCUCGCCCCAGUCCAGCAGCUUAACUACAAUAUCAAUAUAUAUGACAGCACACUGAGAGCUUGUAAUCAAUAAGAUGUCAGGAGGCUAUUAGUUCUACAAAUAGUCAAUAUUAGAAGAGAGCUGACUAAGACAAUUUCCCCAUAUCCUCCUAUAGAAACCCGAAAGCAUAACUCCUUAGUCCUUACUACACCAAUCCUCGAGGUAACACUAGUCAUGUCCUCUACUAUAUUGUUUUUAAGUUCAGCAAAGGCUAAAAGCCCAGUGAGUGAGAAACUAUCAGCUCCUAUAAAGUCAGUAUUCUAAACCAAACCGUGUUAGUAUUACUAAUCAUGAACAGCAAAGAGAACUCCACUAAAGAUAUAAACAGCUAAAUUAAAUGAAACAAUAUUUAUAUAUAACCAUCUUUAUUUCGAUUGGCAGUUUAGCACACGUAUAUCUUAUAUACCGGAACCGGCUAGCGCUCUACACAAAGGAUAGAGAUGGUCAGACCAAACAGGGACCCUUUAUCACCAUGCCUUAGGCCCUAAUUCAGUUCUACAUAAUGCAUGUUGCUUCAACAUGCAGAAUAAACUACAAAGGGUCUUACCAAUCGAUAUUUUAACUCGAAAAACUAUCAAUACAAAGUUCAAUCACAAUUAACACACACACAAUAUAUAUAUAUAUAGAUUAAGAAUUAACAAAACAUAAUUUUUAAAGCUGCACCAAGCAAACAAGUUAAGAACUAACAUAGAUAAUACAAGUAUAUAUAUUUAUAUGGAAUCUGAAAAUUUACCUGCAACAUCUUGAUUAUCAUAAGUGGCACGAUAAACAGUCCCAUAGGUGCCAUGAGCUAUAACAUUCCUUAAAUCCAACUUAGCCAAUUCAAUCUCCCAUUCCUCAGCUGGCCUUUGUUUCUCAAUGUUCCUAGACCAAACUCGGCUCAGGUGCUUCUCCAGCUGCAUGUCUAAGCUUUUUAAAUCAAUUUGAUCAGCUCUAAAGAUCAUGUCUUUGCCACUAAUGCUUCCAUUGCCCUUCAUCUUUGAAUUUCCACCUCCUUCUAGUCCAUCUUGUUUCUUUGGUGCCUUGAUACCAUUAUCUUCCUCACCAGUUUUGAAAUCCAUAGUUAAAAGAAUAUAACAAAAUCACCAAAUAAAAAAACACAAUUAAAGACCCUUAAACUGCAAAACUGAUAAUAACAAUGGAAUUUAAACUCAAAUUAAAAAAUAAGUUGCAAGAUUCCCCAAUUCAGGACAAGAGCAUUAAAUAUCAACCAAAUAUACAUAUGAUCGGAUAAAAAAAACCCAGUUUCACCAACCCCAAAUCCUAUUAGAACCCUGUAUUCAAAAGUGAACUUAUAACCCAAAUUUUAUGAUUUGCAUUUUAAAAAAAAAUAAGGAAACUGGAUUUUUGUUUAGACCCGAAUUUAAUGAAACCUGGUAGCUUUAACAAAAAAAAACAAAAUCUUUAAUGUCACCAACUAAUUAAAUAAUUCUAAACAGAAAAGAACAAAAACCCCAAAAAAAAGAAAAACAGAAGAGAAAGUAAACCCUAAGAAAACGACCCAAUCCCCACCAUUACCCGAAAUGAAUGAACCAGAAUUUAAAUUAUAAAAAAAUUAAACGAAAAUUUUAACUAAAACCCAAGAAAGAGAAACAGGCAUGCAAAGUAGAGUAAGCAAAAUAGAAUAACAAAAUAGUUUUUUUUUAUUAAUUAAAAAAAACCAUUUAAAAGAAGUUUUUGAAAGAGAAAUUCAGGACGAAAAGGUUGACUUAAAAAUAAAUUCUAUAAGGAAUAACUUGAAGAAAAAGGGAACCAAAAAAAAGAGGGUCGGUGGUGGUGUCGUUAAUUGAAUUGUUUUGAUUAUCAAAACAACAAAAAAAAAAGGUAAUUGAAAAGAUAAAGGAACCGAGAGAAAUAGUUAAAAAAUUAUAUCUUUUUUUGCGGCUGAAAAAAGGAAUGGGUUUUUUUACGGUAGAGUUUAACGGAAAAGAUAAAUAAAACUAAUAGAAGGAAAACAAAAUUGAAGAAUUUAAUUGGAUUUGGAUAAGAAUUACAAGGUAAAUCGCAUUAUUAUAAAAAUAUUAUUAUCCUUUAGUCUUGUUACAUGACACCUUAAAUGUAUCACAUGUUAAAAAAAAUGUUUUUCUAAUAUUAAAUUAUUUACUAUUUAUUAUUUAUUUUUCUCUCUCUUUUCUUUCUCUUCUUCUUAUCACCUAUUUUGAUUUUAAGGGGAAAAUCCCGUAUUUUAAGGCAUAUGACAGUUAUUUUUGUCUGAUUUUGUAAUUUGUAUAUAUACACAUGUACUUUUUGGGCAUUUUAAGGUAAAUGUUUACUUUUUUACCUUUUAGUAUGCUUUUUACUUCCUUAUGGUGAGUGCUGCAACUUGAGCAUCUUCAUGGGCAGAUUAAUAAAAAAGAUAAGAGAAGUUCUUGGGGUUUGAUUGUUGAAAACAAAAAAGUUUGAAUUUUUUGAUGUAGAAAUCUCAUGCUGGAUGUGGACUAGUGAAAAACAAACAACAAAAAUGAGAAUCAGGUACUUAUAAGCAACUUUGAAUCAAGACAUUCAAUAUUUUGACACUGGAAUUAAAACAUCUAAUGUUAUUUUUGCUAUCAACACUGAUAUUGUUAUGGUCAAAGAUGAUAAGGUAUUCUUAAAGUUUUUAUCUUUUUUGGUCUCUAUGAGGUAAAAUUGAACACUUUUUUUAGCCUUAUUUUUUGUUGCAGUUAGGCAAUUUCAUUCAUUACAAGACAACAUUUGUAUCUGGUUGUAUGGUAGGUUUCAUAGCAAUAUGACAUUUAGCUUUGGCUACACUUUUUGUGGUUCCUCUUAUUGCUAAAAUUGGAGCAAUACAUACCAUAAUAUUAGCUAAGCUCUUUGCAAAAACCCAACAAGCUUUAUCACAAGGAGGAAACAUUGUGGAAUGGGUAAAAAAGAAAACUUUUUUUUCAUUGUUCCAAAAUCCGGGUAAUUUUCUAAAUGCUAGUUAAAUUAUAGACAAUGAUUCAAAUUCGGGUUGUUUUGGCUUUUGUCGAUGAAUCAAAAGCCUACUCAUCAACAUUGAAAGUAGCACAAAAGAGUGGUUGUUUUGGCUAGGGUUUGCUGAGAAAGGGAAAUCAGGUGAAAAUGAAGAAGAGAAGGAAGAUAGAGGAAAAAAUAAAAAUAAGAAAACAGAUAAUGUAAUAUUAAAAAAAGAAAAUAAAAUUUUUAAACAUGUGGCACAUUUAACGCAUAUUAGAUGUUGUUACCUAAGUAACAACAGAAAACAGUGGAGUGGAGUGACACCUUUGUAAUAACGUGAUAACAUUACUGGCAUUUUUGUGAGUUUUGAAAACUUCAAUGGAAAAAAAUAAAAAUUAACUAAUGUUGAGUGGUUUUUGGUGGAAUUUACUAUUUAUUUUAUUUAUUUUUGAUAAAAACUUUUUUAAAUGAAACUUGAAAGAAAGGUGCGGGGUUGUUUCGCUUUUUAUUUGUCUGAAUUACAUCUAAGGUCACUAAAAUACUAGUAAGUUUACGUUUUGGCCACACAAUUUUAAAAAGUUACAAAAUGGUCACUAAAUUAUUCGAAUAUUUUCAUUUAAGUCAUUGAGAUGUUAAGUUUUUUUUUUUAAAGUCUGCCUGUCGAGCUCCAAGCGACAAUUCAACUACCGAUACGGAGGAUCAGUACCUAUCAACGAGUAGAAAAACAUACCUUAAAUCCAAGUCAAUCUGACAGCCAGUGUCGAAGAUCAAAGAAGAAAGCUAUUUAGAUUUUGUUCAGUAGAUUCAUGACGUUCAAGGUUGUUUCACAAAAAAGACUGAAUUGUGAAAAAGAAAGGGAAUGAGAGGUUUUGAUUAGUGCAUGCAGGUGAACUUGCAUAACGGUGAUUUUAAGAGCCCGACGACUUAAAUAAAAUUUUUUGAAUAAUUUAGUGACCAUUUUGUAACUUUUUAAAGCUGAGUGACCAAAACGUAAAGUUACUAAUAGUUUAGUGACAUUGAGUGUAGUUUACCUUUAAUAAAAAAAAAGACAUUCGAAAAGAACUAAAAUAAAAUUAUAUUUUAUUGUAUAAAUUUGCUUUAGUACCUUUAUUCUUCACACAUUUAAAAAUUAGUCCUUUUACUUUUAACUUUAGUCUCACAAGUCUUUUGAUUUAAAAAUUGAAACAUAUUUAAUAACACUGUCAAAUGAGUAUUAGAUUAUGUGACAUUUUUAAAAUAAAAAAUUUGCUCACAUGGUCAACAUCACAUGUAUGGAAAGUCAAAUAAGUAAAUAAAAAUUGUAAUUUUUUUAAUGCUAAAAUUGGGGUUAUAAAUUGUUUCAAAUAAGUCGAGUGAAAGUCAACUUUUUUAUUCUUAAAAGGCUUCCACCUUGAUUUAGAUUGGUCAUGUCAAUUUUUUUUUUAAAUAUCAUACAAUCCUUUAAUUAUUAAAUCAAUAAAAGAAAGUAUUAAAUUCUUAAAAUUAAAGGUAGAAAAAUUAAAUUUCAAAUCUGCAAAAUAGUAUAUGGACUGUGAGCAAAUUUAUACCUUUGGGAAAAAGCUAAGAACAAAAGGACUCUGUUUUUAUUUCCUGGUUCAUAAAAUACUCUGUCAUAUUGCAUAUGUUCUGUUUCCUUAUUGUUUUCUGUCUUUUAAUGUUAGUGAACCAUGUUGUUUCUCAUUUUAAUUGAAUUAUGCAAGCUCAUUUUAUAUUUAUGAAAUCUAAUAGUUUAUAUUUUCAUAAUUUUUUAAAAGAUUAAAUAAAAAAAAUUAUCAUUUUGUGUACCAUGUACUAAUUUAAAAUUUUAUAAACUUUAAAGAAAAAAAAUUAACAAUUUUUAUUUUCCAAAUCAAGAUCUUGCCAACCCCCUUAACGUCGCCCCUUCCUCCAAUUCUUAUUACGUGCUUUAUUAGAUUAUUAAUUAUUUAUACUUAUUACAUUCUAAAUGAGAUGUGUUAUUCUUUCAACUUUAUUAGUAGAAUUUAAAAAUUUUAUUAAUCAUAUAUCAAGAAUUUUUAUUUAUAAUAAAAUACAUAUUAAUAAUUCAAGUACAACAUUAAACAAUUAAAAAAUACAAAAAUCAUAUUUAACAUUUUAUAAAAAUAUAAAUACCAAAUCUCACAUUAUCUCAAACUUAAAAUAAUAAUGAAAUAAUGGCAUAUAUGAAGCGAAAGAAUCCAAUAGCAUUUAUACAAAUUUACGACACUUGCUAAAUAUUGGAACAUAAUGUUUGUCAUUUAUGGAAUAAAAAAUCUGCCUUGUUCCUUCACGGUUCUACCGAGGACAACCUUAGUUUACACGAUUUUAUUCUCUCCUCUUUUUUUUUUUUUUUAACUUUAUUACAAAGAAAUAAAAUGUUACGGUUGAAUAAAUUAAAUAUAGUCACAAAAUUUAAUAUUGACUAAUUUAAUUUAAUCUCAAAAUCAAGAAGUUGAAGUGUAUAAGGAGAGUUCUCUUUAAUUAUCAUCAUAUCAUAGUAUAAAAUAAUAUAUAAAUACAUGUAUAUCAAAAUCAUAAGUGUUACGUAAGUUGGCAUACAUUAUUCUUAAUUGGAAAUGUUGAGUUUCCAAUGGUGAAUGGUAGACAAAUGCAUCAUAAUCACAUAUUAUAUCAACAAAGACUUAUUCCUUUGCAAGCUGUUUUUACAUCGUCAAUAUAAAAAUUACAAUUAAAAUAAAUUUUAACUUUAAUUCAAAUUGGUUUUAAACUCCCGUCACUUUGAUUUUAUAAAUAAAAUUCUUUUUUUAAAAAUAAUCUCAUUAUAGAUUCUGAUUAUGUCUGUUCUUUUUGAUACAAUGUCUAAAAUUAUUCAUAGUCCCUCCCCAACACAUAAAUAGGAAGAUAAUGUACUUCAAACUUUAGUACUCUCGAACUCACAUCUUUCUACACUAACAAUAAUAUUCAUACCAAUCGUUACCCGAACUAAACUAUCACAUAAAUUACAUAUUAAUUUUUAUAAAAAAUUGUAAUUCGAUUUUCACCCUAACCUUUUUUUUUUUCAUUUUUAACUUUUUGCUCUUUGCAAAAUUGAUAGAAUUUCUAGCUUGCAAGUUUCAAUCAUGUAGUUUCCAUGUUGGGGAUAUGCGCCAACUACUUAGGGCCAGUUUUUCAUUGCUUAAAAAAUGUACUUCUGACUCUAAAAGCACUUUUGAAAUAAAAGUUGUGAAUAACAAGCUGCUUUUGGCUGAAAUUUUUAGGUUUUUAGAAGUUGGAAAUUUUAACUCUUCCUUUCCCAAAAGUAUUUUUGGUGCUUAAUUACUUUUUCACCCCUCCAAUAACAUGGUAUUUUUUAUUUUUUUUCUUGGUACUUAAUUACAAUUGUGUUCAAAUCAUUAAUUAAAAAUAAAAAAAAUAUUUUUAAAAUACUAAUUACAAAUAUUUAAUGGUUAUAUUUAAAUAUUUAAAAUAUAGUUUAUAUAUUAUAAUUAAAUUUUAUAAAUAAUUAAUAUUUAUUGCUUAAAGAUAUUUAAAAUUUAUAUUUCAUAUAUUAAAAUAUUAACAACAAAUUAUAAUAAUUUUUUUAUAUUCUUACUAAAAUAUAAUAAUAUUAACUAAUUUAAAUAUUAUUUAAAUGCAUAUUUGUUACUUGAUAAUAACAUGUCUAAUUUUAUUUCUCAAAAGUACUUUUUUACAGUAAUGUUAAACACUCAAAUUUUAAACCAAACUUUUUAAAAGCACUUAUCAAAAGCAUUUUUUCACAGCAUUUUUCAAAAGCACUUUUCAAAAGUAAUGAAGAACUGGCCCUUAAUCGCGAUGAUAACAUUAUUGAACCAUAUUAGUUUAAAAUUUUAACUUUUUACGGAUGAAUUUAUCUUGUCUAUAGGAUAAUAUUAAAAUUUAUAAAAAAUUACUACAUGAUAAUAUUGUAUUUUAACUUUCAAAAAAUAUAAAAACUUUUAUUUGUCAUUUAAAAAAUUAAAAUUAUAUAAACUAUUAAAAUGGUAAAUUUACAUUUCAACUCUCGUAAAAAUAUACUAUUUUUCACUUCUGAUUAUGUAUAUAAAAUUUUGAAUCGAUUCAUACCAGUUCAAAAUAUUGUAUGAAUUAAUUUUUAUUGAAUGGUUAAAAUUUUUUGUAUAAAAUAAAUAUUUAAACUUUUUUAAUUUAAUGCAAAAUUAACAUGCAAUAUCUAUAUUAAUGAAAUAUAUAGUAACACUAAGAUGAAAUAAUGUGGUGGAGUAUGGCCCAGCUGAACAUUGGGCCCUUCUUGCUUGAAAUUGGGCCAAUAGCAUUGAUUGAGUUAGCUAACUUCAAUUUUUAGAAGGAUCUAAGGAAUUAUUAAAUCCCAAAUAAUUUUGUACAUGCAUGAAAAAAUGGGUCACACUAACUAAUCUUUAUUGAAGACUUUAAAGGGUAAGUUUUCUAGGCUUUCUUAAAAAAAUCUUUAUGUUUUAUUUUUAUAAAUAUUUUUAUUGUAUUUUGAUCAGUAAAUUUGUUGUUCUAAUUUUAUUCGAUUAGAAUUUUCAAUUAAAAUUCAUUAUUUAUUGUAUAUUUAAUUUAAAAAAAAAUUAAAAACAUAAAAUAAAAAUAAAUGAUAUGUGUAUCACCUCAUUAAUUCUGUUUUUGGAAUUUCCAGGAAUCCCAGUGAUGAUUAGCAUUUGAUGGACUGGGUUGGUGCUUUGGUGGGUCUAAGGGGACCAUAAAACAAGAUUCAUUGGUGAUUUUAUCAUUUUAUGGGCAUUUUUACUUGGGGCCACUUUAUUUUCUUUGGGCAUUUGUAGGGUUUUUAUGAAGAUUUCUUCUUUCUUUUUAAUCAUAUUCAGUCUACGAUGAAACAUUAAUACUUAAUAUUGUUGAUGCUUGGUUCGGAAUUGGUGGUUGAGGGUGGUUCUGUUUGGUGCUGAGAGUUACAAUUGAUGUUAUGAUUUUAAGAGAAAGAAAAAAUAGUUAUGGAGAAGAGAAACUAAUAUAUGAUAUUUUCAACGGUCUUUAUACGAGGAAAAAAUAUAUCAUUAGUUUUUUAGGGAACGAUGACCCACUUCACAGGGGAGAUGAUCCUAUACGACAGGAUUGGACAUGAUUAGAUUGAGUUAAUUUGUUUGGUAGUAAAUUCCGACGUGAGUGAUAAGUGUGAUGGACACAUUUAAUACGAUUUGAUUGGUUAUUGAGUGUGAAUGUCAAAAGUAAUGGGUAUAACUGUCCCAUUUAAUACAAUUCAAAUAGUUGUUGGAUUGAGUCCUCUCUUUCAUACAAGCGCUUUUUGACGAUAUCAUCUUUGAGAAAGGUUACGUAUAGCAAAUAUUAUAUAAAUUUUGAUAUGGUUUAUAUGAUUUGUAUACAUAAACUUAAAAAGAAUUUUAAGAUAUUAGAUUAAAUUGGAUUUUAGGUCAUUCAAUACUUAAAUAAAUUUAGAUCAUAUUUUCAAAAUCAUUUUAUUUUUGAAAUUAAAUUGUAGUAAAAGACAAUGAUGAGUACAAAAACAGAAUCAUUUCCAAUGACUAGGGGGAAAUAAAAUAUGUAGGCAUUUUGUCUGAGUAGUGGGAUGCAUAGUGGCUUCAACAAAGAGAUUAAACCCUAAAAAGGCAGAAUUUGAUAUCUGAAAAUGGUUUCCCAACUUACAAAUUUCACUCCUUUCCAUGUCAGGAAAGUAAUGAAUUUGCUGAAGCAAAGCAUCAUGGGCCAUGUCCACCACCUAUGAACAGCCCAUUGUCAUUUUCUAUCUUUCAUCAUCCCACCCUAUGUGGGAAUUCUCUUUCCUUCAAAAUACGGUUCAAAUUUUAAUUUGAUCAUAUAAUUUUUAAAACGUUUUAGGUUCUAGUUUAGGAUCAUGUGAAAGAAUUUUAAAAUAUGUUUAUUAAAUUGUAAAUAUGUGUAUAUUUAUUGAAUUGAUUGUUUUGAUUCAACAUCUUAAAAAAUAAGAAUAUGUGAAUAAAUUACUUUGUUUUAAUUCUCGUUACUGAUUAUACCCUUAAACUAUUAAAUUGAAAAAAAAUGCAUACUUAAACACUCUCCAAUCUAUAUUUUAUUAGAUAUUACAAUAUUAAUCAAUUUAAUUUUAAAUGUGAUUUAAGACCCAAAUUAAUGAUAAGAUUAACAGAAAGACUUAAUUGAUAAAAUAUUAAUAUUUUAAAAACUUAAUUAGAAUAUUUGGAAAUUUAUAAACCCUAAUUAAAAUUUACAUUGCUAUUGUCUAAAAACAAAAAAAAAAAAAAACAAAUAAUGGUUUACUUUUGAUGAGCUUUUCAGAAUCCUCAAGUGGGGGUGAAACUACUAACAAUAGAUACAAGCCUAGCUGGCUUUUUCACUACAAGACGAUAACACAAUCUGGAAUUAUAUUAUCUUUAUGUCGGCGUGGGUGCCCCCAUUCCCAUUUUCAUCCUCUCUUUUUCCCUUUCUCCACCUUUGUCUUCUUUCUUCGGAUUUUCUUGGAAAAGUUGUAAUUAUGCUCAAGAAAAUAUAAAAGGUUAAUUUUUUUUAAAUAUUAAGUCCCAGUAUAGAAUUAUUAUUAAGUUUAAGGAUUUAUUUAGAAAAAAAUUCAAAACUUAAUAUGAUAAUAAUUAUUAAAUUUAAAGGUUAAUUUAAACAAAAAGCUUAGAUUGGUGUGAACCCUAAAGUCUCCCCCAUUCCAUCUACUCUCAUCCAUCAUCUACUUUUUUGUACACCUAAUAAUAUUUAGAGUGAGACAAAAUGCAUUUUUUUUUCUUAAUUUUCUUUUGCCGACGAGACCUCAUAGAAUUGACAAAGCGUGGAUGUGUGUUCUUUUCUAAUACGAAACAUAUAUGAAAUAGGUAGAUGUGAGAGGAGACUAGGGUAAGAAAAAGAUUGAAGUGUCGGUGGUUUAAGGUCUUCUGGUGCCUUCAAAGCAUGGCAGCUUGCCUUUGGUAAUGAGUAAGCAUCAAUAGUGCUUGAAAAUGGAUGAGAAAUAUGACACUGUAACUCCCAACUAUUCUUUAAGUAAACUUUUAUUUGUUUUUCUCUGUUUCGAGUCGCGUUCUUUUAACAAGUUCAUUGAUGUUGAAAAAUUCAAUAUAAUUAAUUAAUUAUAAUUAACUAAAAUAAUCUAUCCAUUAUUCGAAUACGAGACUUCAAAAUUUUCAGUAACCCUAUCGCAUCAUUAACCCAUAAAUUUGAUACUUCGAAGUAACCCUAUCAUCUAUUUUUGGUGAUGAGCCAAUGGCAAUGCUUUCAUUGAUAUAUAUAUGAAUGUAGCUUGUAUUAUAUCAGUUUUGAUUAACAAAAUUUAGUUUAAAAAAAACCAUUAAUGAUUUAUCAAAAUUCCAAUUGUUAGACUUGUAUGGCAUGAUAUUAUUGUUGUUUUGUGUAUACAUACCUUUCUUUUACGUAAUAUAAAUUAUUAAAUAAGUCAAAAUUCUUAUGAAUAAUUUAUUUAGAAUAAUGAUUAGAGUGUUUGAUCGACUUUUAAAUGACAAGAGUUUAAAUUUUGUCAUCUCAUCAUUUUCAUUGAUAAGAAAAUUUAUGAUGUGUAUUAAAUGUUCAUAUUGCCAUAUUUUAUUGUUCUCGUCAUGGGUGUUAGAACCAUGCUAGCUGAUUGAAUCGGUAUUAUAAAACUAGAGGAAUGAACCUAUGCAAAGUUGAUUGAAUCGGUUAAGAAUCGUUUGAGCUUAAUUUAAGCUAGUUUAAAUAUUUAAUUUGUUUGUUAUAAUUUAUAAAAUAAUUGUUCAUAUUUUUAAAAAAAAAUAUAUUUUGGUACCUAAAAAAGUAACCGUGCUAAUUUUUUUAAUGUUUAAUUUGAGCUUUAGCAUUUAUUUGAUAAACGUUAAUUGCUAAUAUUAUUAGUUUUGAUUUUUUCAUGAUUUUGUUAAUAGAAUAAAUUUAAUAUUAAUUGUGAUCUUUUUUUCAUUUUGUGUUUAAUUUGACAAAUAUAAUCUGAUAGAAGUGAUUUAGUUUAGGUUUUAGAGUUGAUCUGAUUAAAGUUAAUUGCUAAUAUUGUAAGCUAAUAUGAAUUUUCAUCAAAUCAACUCUAAAUCCGAAUUAAACACUAAAAAAUUGACACCAUUACCCUUGAAUACCAAAAUGUAUAAUUUUUGUCAACUACAGAUAUCAUAUUAGAUGAAAAAUAACAUAAAUACCACAUUAAAGAAAAAAAAGAGAAUAUCAUGCUGAAAUAUCAAAUUAUAUAUUAAACUCUUCAUUUUAUAACGAUUAAACUAAAAACUUAAUUUAUUAAAUCUAUUAAAUCAAAAAUCGAUAAAUUAACCAAUUCGGUUUUAUCCUUUUAUCAUAUUGAUUUUCGUAUGGUGCCCAAAGUGAGAUGCAUAAUCGUCACUUGAUUCACAUGUAGUUUCAUAGUCAAAGGUCCAGCUUUUAGUCACCAGUCAUGUGGGGGAUAUAUUAUUAAUUCUACGGUAUUGAUUUUUAGACUUUGGACAGUUCCAAAAAUUUAAUUGCAUACCUAAAAGAAAUUAAAAAAGAACAUAUUGGUUAUUACUUAUUACCUACUUUCCUAAAUUUGGUUUUCAAUUAUACACAAAACCCAAUUUAUUGUACCAAAAAAAUUCAAAAAUUUAACCCAAAAAUCAUGAUUAAGGCCCUUAAAUUCACUUUCCCUUAUGUAAUCAUGUUUAAUUGGCCAUUGGUGGUGAGCAUCUUCCCUCAUCUAAUACUUCAUUUUUAUUUCCUUUUAUGAAAAAUUGAUUAUGAUAUAUCACCUUUACUUUUUGUACAUUACACUUUCAAUAGUUGUUACUUUGCCUUCCUACCUUUAAAUUAAAUAAAAAAAAUAGUAAAUGAAGCAUGUGAAUAAUACAAAGUUUGUCAACCAUAGUAUUUUAAUAUUUUCAACUAAUAGGCCAAAGUUUGGCCAAAAUUAAUGGACGAACUACCACUUUGUUAGGAGUAGUUUUAUCUCUAGCUUAAAUGUGUCCAUAAAUUACUUAAUUAUUACCAUAAGAAUUGCGCCAAUGAAGUUAAGGUAGUGUUGAUAAAUGUAUUAUAGUGUAUGUAUUUUAUCUAAACUUAUUUUAAUUUAGAUUUAAAUAUAUUUCGAUUAUACAUUGUUAUGAUUAUUUUAGUUGUUGUUAUUUGGACGUGUAUUAAUUAUUAUAGCAUUUUUAAAUAUACAUAUAUAAUUGUAAUUUUGUGUAGAAGUGUUAAUGAAUUGGUUGGCCAAGGUGUUUUAAGCGACCUUGGUUCAUAUUUUUCAACCCUAAGUUGAUUUAUUUUAUUGUUUAAACAUAAUAAAAAGUAUAAAAAAUGGUAUUACUGUUUAUGUAUUUUUUAUAAUUAAACUUAAAUAAUAAAAUAGGUCAUUUUGGUAGACUUGGAUUAACCGAGCUCGAGUCUGUAAAUUUUUUAAGAAUUAACCUUGAUCUAUUAGUAUCUCUAAUUUUGUGAGCGGAUAAUGUGAAUAAAAAAAUCGACAAUCUUCUUAAUUAAUAAUUAAAAAAUCCAAAAUCCUCUUGAUCUAAUAAUUAAGAAGAGUUUACUCUAAUUUGACGGGGGAAGGAUAAAAUUUACCCUUAUUUUAUAAGAAAUGUUUUAAACUUUUAUUUUGUAAAUUUAGUUAUAAAAACAAUGAAACAGAUUUUAUUUAUUUAUUUUAAACAAAAAGUUGAAUAUCUAAAAAGGAGAAUGGAUUUCUUAUAAAAUGACAGAAGUUUCAACAUUUCUAUAGGCCCACCAUUGAAAAGUAGCAAGCUACCUUAAUACAGGAAACCAACAUAAUCCAAUGCCUCGUUUCUUUUAAGAAAAUGACAAUUAUUUCAUUAUAUAUUGUUAAUUAUAAUAUAACUACUCAUAUUAUUUUCUUUCCGUACCAUUCUGUAUUUGAUUUACUUGCAAUCCAUAUUAUUGAAAUGAAAAUUUAGUGAUGACCAUUUAAUUGAAUUAAUCAGUAUAAUUAGAUUUAACUAAAUUGAUUUAAAUAUAUUAAUUCCAUCAAUGGUAAGUUUGUGUAAGUAACCAUUGAAUCCACUAAAUUAACUAAUUUAAUAUAAAUACAUUAUAUAAACAAAACACCGGAAAUUAAAAUAUAUAACUUCUUUUAAAAGAAAAUUCAUUAAUUCAUUUCAUAAAUGGGAUCGGAUAAGUUGGAGCUAAAGAACAACAAACACUUGUUGUAAGCAAUGAAUGAUAAGUUCCACCAACACAACAAAUAUUUGAGUCGCAGCAUCAAUAGAAUAUUAUGACAUAUUGACGGUUGACUUUGUCAUAACUUAAGCAUGACGUAUCUGGAGUGGUAGCAAGCACUUAAUUUAUAAGAAAAUCAACCCAAUGGUCCAAAUUGGUGGGCAAAAACUGGCCAAAGAAUCAAGCAUCCAUGAAACUAGAGAGGACGGCGACAAAACCAUCACUAAAAUCACUUGCAAAAGCAAUAUUACAUGCAUAAGCAAAACUAAAAAAUGUGCUAUAAGAGCAGACAAAAUUUCAAAUACUAAAGACUUAUUAGACGAUGAAAAACAAACAAAAAUAUAUAUAAAACUUAAGACAACAUGGGUCCAAACUGACUUGUGAACUGGGGCAUAGCAAGGGGGCUGGCAGGGGUUUCGACCCUCCUAAAAUGGAAAAAUUUUUAUUUAGGCCCUUUAAAAUUUCAAAAUUUUAAAUUAUUAGAGGUAAAAUUAUACUUUGGCCCGCUAAAAAUGAUAAAAUUUGUUUUAAUCCUUUAAAAAUUAUAAAGAUAUAGGCUAGUAAAAUAGUGAAAUUGCAUUUUACUAUAUUAAAAAUUACAAUUUAAUUUGGCCCCUAUAAAACAUUUCUGGCUUUACCACUGCUCAUGAUAUCAAUUAUUAUUUUGAAAUACUCUCAAACUAGAAAUAGAUUAAGGAAUUGACGAAAAGCUACCAACAGUUUAGCCACUCACUUUUCAAGAGAAACUGUUGGUGGCCGGUGGAGUUUCAAUGACAACAGACACCGACUCCAUCAGCCACCAUCAUCUAUCCUUCACAACUUGUGAAGACAACAAAAAAACUUGCAAAAUAGAUCUGCAAACUGAAAAGAGAGAGUUACAUGGAGUGAAUGAAGAGAAGAAAUGAUGAGAGAGUUAGUGGGAAGGAGAAAAAGACGGGCGAUACAUAAUCCGGAAGUUAACACCGCCGCUGAACAAAACAAAAGAGAAGAAACAAACAACUUAAAAAAAAAAGAUAAAAAAAUUCAAAUAUAUAAUAAUUUUAUAUAAAAUGAACUAUAAAAGAAAAUAUAUUAAACCAUGAAUUUUCAAGUAAUCCAUUAUUUAAACCAAUUCAAUAUUAUUAUCAUGGAAAAUCAAUUAGUUGAAGGUUUCAAAAAUGAAAUAAUAGUUUACAUGAAUUAUAUAUAUAAAAAAAAUUGCAUGCAAGCUUUAUUUUAUUUUUGUUGAUGGGCCAAUAAGAACUUUAUUUAAUUUAUCAAAUGCUAACAUAUUAAUGGUUGAAGAAUUUGGAUAGUUCUAAAAUGAUGAAAAGGUGGUAAGUAAUAAAUUUGUUAUUUAAUUUAUCAAUAAUAUUGAGUAAUUUUUAUAAUCUUUGGUUGUCUUGAUUUAACCAAUAUAAUUUAAGUGUUUUCUAUUGAAAAGUCAACUUGCUUAGCUAAUAAAGUUGUAAUAGCAAUAAUGAAUCCUUGAACCCAAUUACAUUUAUAAAAAAAACAUAUCCUUGGAUUCGAAUUUUAGAAAUUUGAUAUUUUUUUUGUCUGCAAGAUAUGACCUAAAUGUAAUGAACCUUUUGUUUUUUAAAUUAUAUUGCUUAUUUUGUGGUGUGUGUUUUUAAUAAAUAUAAAAUUCAAAUAUUUUAAAUAUUGUAUUUAAAUGUUAUUUAACUGUAUAAAAUUUUAAAUAUCUGUAUAUUCAUUUAUUUCAAAUUAAUUAUUUAUAAUACAAUUACGAAAGAAUAUCAGGAAAAUUUAUAAAAAAAAAAAAACAUGGCCUAAACUAAACUAAACAAUCUAAUUUAGAUGUAGAAAUACGUAUCCACCACUCAAGUGCUUAAUUGUUAUAAUUAAUUAACUUAAAAAAGCAUAUGACUUCCUUAAGCAAGUUAGGUUUAUUAUUGAGGGUGUGAUUUGUGUGAAAGCUUACCAACUGUUUCAAAAAAUAGUUGUGCGAUUGGAUAUGCAUUUAAGCUUAAUCACAAUUAUUUGUUUUUUGAAUAAAAAAAAAAGCAGAACGAAAUAAUUAUUAUGAAAAAAGAAAAAAAUAUUUAUACUUUAUUAAUGAUUAAGGAAAAAUAUGAAUAGUUAAAAUAAAAAACUGCGAAUAUUAUGAUUUAUUUUGAUUAUACCUUACUAAAUGUGAAUAAUAUCUAUUAUUUAUACACAUGUACGAAUAAUUUAAUUUAAGGUAGUGUGUAGCCUUCUUUUAUUUAUAAAAUAUAUAUAGUUUUUGGUUAUUAAUAGUUAUGCUUUGUACCUGGUUAUAACUUUUUUUUAACAUUAAUCUCAUUAUAGGUUCUUAUCAUAUCUGCUCAUUUUGAUACAAUAUUUAGAACUACCAUAGCCCCUCCUUAACUCUUAUAAUGCGCUUCAGUGCACUCGAACCCACGUCAUCUUGCAUUAGCAAUAAUGCCGAUACCAAUCGAGUUAAGACUCAAUCGGCUUAUUAUGAGAGGUUCAGAUUUAUUUUAAUUUAAAUUAGAAUAUCUAUUAAUUUUCUUUUCUUCAACAUUUUUUCUUAAUAUAAUUAUUUUAAAAUUUAAUAUUAGGUAACUUUAGAACCAAAUCUUAACAUUUAUUAUUUUUAUUCACAAGCCACAAAUUUUAAAAAAAAACUAUAUAUAUUCAACUUAUAUUAUUUGAAAAUAAUAUUUUGUUAGAAUAAAUAUUAUAGAAUUUGUAGAAUUCAGAGUUCUUCAGCAAAGCACAAGACACAACAAAAGCAUCAUUAAUGGGGAAAUCCAAAACCCAAGAAAACAUUAAUGAUUGUGAUCUUAAGCAAAGUUAUAGUCAUGGUUAAUAUUUACUCAAGGUGUUUAUACUCUUAGUAUAUUCACAAUUUAGCUCUCUACUUUUAUUUUUAUAAUUAAUCCAUUUAUUUUAUAGAUUUUAAAAUUAAACUUUAAUUGUCAAUAAUUUUUUUAUUAAAGUAGUUGGUAUUAUAGUUUGAAAUAAAAAAUACUUGUUGGAUAAUUAUGUAAUAAAAAACAACGUUAUUAUGAACAAUUUAAUAAAAGAAAACGAUAUUAAUAAUUAUAUUUGCAUUUUUUAAAUAUGAAAAAAAAUAUUAAGGCUUCAUUUGCUUUCUGAAAAUAAUUUCUAUUUUUUAUUUUAAGGAAAUGAUUUUUAUUUUCUAUUUACUGAAAAUGACAAAACAUAAACAGAAAUAAAAAAAAAUUAUUUUUGAUAACGACAAUAUCAGAAAAUGUUUGGUACAUAUUUUUAAUUAAAACAAUGAAAAUAAAAUUUUAUUAUUUUUAAUUUUCACGUAUUUUUAUUUUUAAAUGAUCAUUUUUAAAAAUUGUAAAAAAAAUGUUUUCUUUUGAUAUUUUAAUUUUCCGAAAAAACAAAAAUGAAAGUGGCCGUUGUUUCUUAAAAUUAAACCGAGCCUAAAUUUUAUAAAUAUACAGCAAUUAGGGGCAUAUUUUAACCCAUCUAAUUUUUAUUUCCAAUUAGGAGGGGCAUCCAAUUUGACCAAAUACCAUAAACUCUCCCAAUUAUUAAACGACGCAUUUCAAAACUUUAAUUUGAACAAUCCAAAGUCUUAUUCAGUCUCCCAAUUUACAGUGUGGCAAAAAAACUCCAAUCUUUAUUCAUAAAUAACUUUCUUUGUUUACUUUGCUCUUUUCUUUUUACUUUCUCUCUCUCUCAUUGUGUCUCUUUGUCAAAUCUAAGAAUAUAAUGCUAAGAAACUCAUUUGGAGAGAGAAAGAACCAAAAAAAAAAAAUCACAGAAGAGUUUGUAAGAGAUAACAGAGCAAUGGGGUAACUUUGAACAAGAUGCGGCUGAAGAUUUACUAUCACAGCUGCUGAUCAUCAAAAUCCCAUUUCCCGGUUUUUUUUUUUGUGUUUUUGGUAUGUUUUUUUAUCCAAACUUUUGUUAAAAACUUCUUCUUUUGCUGUUCUCUUAAUUACCCAUUUGCUUAAAGUUCAUGUUUUUGUUUUUUCUUUCUUGCAGUUUGUUUAAAUUUUAUGUUUUUUUGUUGAAAAAGAUAGCUAUUUUUCCAGAUUUUGUUCCUUUUUGCAAGUAUUUGAUGUUGGUUUUUGGGAAGAAUACUUAAAUUAUUUCCCAGUUUUGUUCGUAUGGUUCAUUUCUUCUUCCUUUUUUGAGACCACUCUUAAAUAAAAGUUCAUGAUCCUUUCCCAAAUAGAACCAAAAAAAAAAAAAAACAAAACAGGGUCAUGUGCUUCUUUGAAUUGUAGAUUUGUGUGAUGAAAUUCCUUCUGUAAUUGGACCACUGGGUCCAAACAACUUUUAUGGCUUUCUUUUUUUUAUUGAAUCACUUUCACUGCAAAGUACAAAUGCUGUGUGCUAUAUGCUUACUUUUGGGAAUCUUUGUUUUGAAUUCAUGGUAUUUCUAUUUGUUUAAUUGGUUCUUUACAAAAUUGAAGAUCUGAUAUAAUCCUUUUUUUCCCUUUUCAGUGGAGUGCUUGUUAGCUUUGAAACAUGGAAGAGAAUCUCAUCGUUGCACAUCAUUGAUCUUUGACUGAAUAGGUAACUUAGGUUACAUAGAUUAUCGGGGAUUUCGAUCAUUCGAUUAUGUGAAUUUUGUUGCUCUAAAUGCAUUCCAAGUAGUUUGACUUGAAUAUCUCUGGUUGUGUAUAGGUGCAAGUGAUUCAGAAUAAAGAUCUAUUAGAGUAGUGGAACAGAAUUAGAUUUUUAUUCUGGCCUGGACCCAUUACUUGAGUUUUUGUAAAGACCAGGCUUUUGCAAAGCCGAAACUCGUUGCGUUAUUGCUUGUUGGUGGAAUUAUGGCAACUUCAUUACAUUCCGAGUCUAGACGCUUGUAUUCUUGGUGGUGGGAUAGUCAUAUCCCCAAGAAUUCUAAAUGGCUUCAAGAAAAUCUUACAGGUAUGAGUUUUCUUUCUAAAUACUUUGCCGCGAUGGUCUAUGAUGAUAUAUGUGUAUAUAUAUGUAUAUAGUUGAUAAUCCAUUUAUAUCACUAUAUGCUACACUCAGUUGCAAUGAUUUUCUGUUUCAACAGAUAUGGAUUCUAAAGUUAAAGCGAUGAUCAAACUGAUCGAAGAAGAUGCGGAUUCUUUUGCAAGACGAGCGGAAAUGUAUUAUAAAAAACGGCCGGAGCUCAUGAAAUUAGUUGAGGAGUUCUAUAGAGCUUACCGCGCUUUAGCAGAGAGGUAUGAUCAUGCAACCGUUGAGCUUCGCCAUGCCCAUAAAACCAUGUCGGAAGCCUUUCCCAACCAGGUUCCUUUCGUAUUGGCUGAUGAAUCAUCCUUGGGCUCUUCAGGCCCUGAGGUUGAGCCUGACACACCAGAAACCCCGCAUCCUUUUCGUGCAUUCUUUGAUUUGGAUGACUUGCAAAAGGGCUCUGGGAUAAACAAAAGGGGUUUAAAGCAGUUGAAUCAGAUGUUUGAAUCGGGAAUAGUGUCUCCAAAUGCCAACAUUACUGUGAAGAAGGGGAAUGGUGGUGAAGCCGAGGAAAAUGAGCAGAGUGGGUUAUCUCAGUUAUCGAUUGAGAAUGAAAAUUUGAAGAAUCAAGUUCUUUCCGAAUCUGAGCGUGCAGGUAAAGCUGAAACUGAAGCAGAGUUCUUGAAGAAAACUCUUGCCGAGAUUCAAGCCGAAAAGGAAGAUGUCCUUCUUCAUUACCAACAGAGUUUAAAGAAGUCAUCUAGCCUUGAAAGAGAACUUAACGAAGCACAAAUGUAUGCCGGGAAUCUUGACGAACGAGCCAGCAAAGCUGAAAUCGAGAUCAAAGUUCUGAAAGAAGCAUUAAGUAAACUUGAAGCCGAACGAGACGCUGGUCUUCAUCAAUACAAUCAGUGCUUGGAAAGAAUAUCCAGCUUGGAGAAUACCAUUUCCCAAUCCCAAGAGGAAGCAAAAGGGCUUAACGAGAGGGCUUUCAAAGCAGAUAUUGAAGUUCGGAAUCUUAAGAUAGAGCUUUCUAGGUUAGAAGCUGAAAAGGAAGCUGGUCUUGUUCGAUACAACCAGUGUCUUGAUAUGAUAUCAUCAUUAGAAAAUAAAAUCUCACUUGCUGAAGAAAACGCGAAAAUGCUCAACAUGCAAAUCGAAAGAGCUGAAAGUGAAGUUAAAGCGCUAAAAGAUGCUAUUGCUAAGCUGAAAGAAGAGAAAGAUACUAUGGCUCGGCUGUAUGAGCAGUGCUUGGUAACGAUUGCCGAGUUGGAGAGUGAAAUUUCUCGUGCCCAGGAGGAUGCAAAACGAUUAAACAAUGAGAUUGUAGUCAGUGGUGAAAAAUUGAGAAGCGUGGAAGAACAGCGUGCUCUGCUGGAGAAAUCGAAUCAAUCUCUACUAGUAGAGGCCGAUAAUCUGGUGCAGAAAAUAGCGAUUAAGGAUCGUGAACUUUCGGAGAAGCAAAACGAUUUGGAGAAACUUCAGACAUCAUUGCAAGACGAGCAUUUACGAUUUGUGCAAGUCGAGGCUACACUGCAAACUUUACAAAUGUUGAAUUCGCAAUCUCAAGAGGAGCAGCGAGUUUUGACAUCGGAGCUCUUGAAUAAGCUUCAAAAGUUAAACGAGUUGGAAGCAAGCAACCAAAAAUUGGAGGUAGAAAUUGAUCAAGUGCAGGGUGAAAACCGGAGCCUCAAUGAAUUAAACAGUUCUGCCACUGUUUCGAUGAAGAAUUUAGAAGAUGAAAUUCUCGGCUUGAAGGAACUGAAAGAAAAACUUGAAAGUGAGGUUGCAGUACAAAUGGAACGAAGUAAUAUCCUCCAGCAAGAAGUUGACAAAUUGAAGGAUGAAAUUGAGGUCUUGAGUAGUGCAUACCAGGCAUUAAUUCAACAGCUGCUGUCUGCAGGUUUAAAUCCUGAAUGUCUUGAACUGUCAGUGAAGGAAUUACGAGAGGAGAACUCGAAACUGAAGGAAGAAUUCAGCAAGCAAAGAGGGGAGGCCGAAGUUCUUUACAAGAAACUGAGAAGCAUGGAUGAUCUUUUGGAGAAGAAUGCUGUUUUGAGAAGUUCAGUGUCGGAAUUGAAUGGCAAAUUGGAAGGGUCGAGGGAGCUUGUUGGGGAAUUACGGAAGUCCAGUGAGUUUCUUUGGGGAGAAAAAUCUUCACUUGCCGCUGAGAAAUCGGUUCUUCUUUCUCAGUUACAGAAGAUGACUGAGAAUAUGCAGACGCUCUUUGAGAAAAACAGAUCGUUGGAAAGUUCCCUUUCUGGUGCUAAUAUCGAGCUUGAAGGCUUGAGAUCAAAGUCAAAGACCUUAGAAGAAUUCUGCCAGUAUCUCAAAAACGAGAAAUCCGUUCUUGCAGGUGAAAGAGACAGCCUGAUCUUGAAGCUCGAGGAUGUUGAAAAGAGGCUAUGCAUCCUUGAACUCCGAUUCGAUAAACUGGAGGAAAAAUAUUCUGACCUGGAGAAGGAGAAAGAUUUGACACUCUGUCAGGUAGAGGAACUACGGGAUUCCCUCGGUGCGGAACAACAAGAGCGUGCCUGUUAUGUGCAGUCAAGUGAAUCACGGUUAGUGGAUCUCGAAAACCAUGUCCAUUUACUACAAGAAGAAAGUAGGUUCCGGAGAAAAGAGUUCGAAGAAGAAAUUGAUAAAGCUGUCAAGACUCAGGUCGAGAUCUUCAUCUUCCAAAAGAUCAUAAAAGAUCUCGAGGAAAAAAACUUGUCUUUGUUGAUUGAAUGUCAGAAACAUGUCGAGGCGUCCAAAUUGUCGGAUAAACUAAUUAGGGAGUUGGAGAGUGAAAAUCUUGAGCAGCAGAUAGAAGGUGAAUUCCUAUUGGAUGAAAUCGAGAAACUAAGAUCUGGGAUUUAUUUAAUUUUCCGAGCUCUUGAGUUUGAUCCUGUUAACAAACAUCGGGAUGUAGUUGAAUCAGAUCAAGUUCCUCUUUCAUGCAUUCUGGAUAAUGUUGAAGACAUAAAGAGUUCACUAUCGAGAAACCAGGAAGAGAAGCAACGACUGGUAGUUGAGAACUCAGUGCUGUUAACUUUAAUCGGACAACUUAAAUUCGAGGGCGGCGAACUUGAGUCUGAGAACCGAGCCCUUGAGUAUAAGUUCGAGAUUGUGGAAAAGCAGAAUGCGAUGCUGCAGAAAGACAAGCGGGAGCUUCAAGAGAUGAACCAGCAGUUGAUGUUGGAAGUGCGUGACGGAAAGAUUGAGAAAGAAAUAUUAAACGCGGAAUUGGAGAGUGAACGUGGAAAGUUGAAGAGCAUGCACGGAGCUUGCUUGUUAUUAGAGGAGGAAAAUUCCAAGCAGCUCGAAGAAAACAGACUUUUGCUCGAGAAAUUCUCGGACCUCAAAGAGGAUAUGUGUGUUCUUGAAGAUGAGAACAGUGUUGCCCUACAAGAAGUGGUAGCCCUUAGUAGUCUCUCUCUCAUUUUAGAGACCUUUGGUGCCGAAAAAGCCGUUGAAAUCAAGAAAUUGGAGAAGACGUUGAACAAGAAAGAAGCUGAAAUCUCAGAAUUGAGUGAAACUGUUGAGAAGUUACGCAAUGGACUAAAUGGUGUCAAAGAUUUGAACGACCAAUUAAAUUAUCAAGUCGUUAUCAGAAGUGAUUUGCUAAAACAGAAGACCAUCGAGCUUUCAGAAGCAGAUGAAAAGCUUCAGGCCACACAUAACUUGAAUGCGGAACUGUACCAGACUCUCGAGGAACUGAAGAGGGAAUAUGAGGAAUCUAAACAGAUUAGAGAAAACUUAGAGAGGCAGAUUGUUGAACUAUCGGAAGAUAACAAAGAACAGAAAAUGGAAAUCGAACACCUUCGUGAAGCAAAUGACAAUUUGGGUUCCAAAGUUGUUACAUUACACAAGGAAAUCGAAGAAAAAAAGAUUUAUGGACAAAACCUGAGUCUAGAGCUACAAGAAAAAAGCAAUGAGUUCGAGCUGUGGGAAGCUGAGGCUGCAUCAUUUUACUUUGAUUUCCAAGCUUCUGCCGUUUGUGAAGUUCUACUCGAAAAUAAGGUACACGAGCUUACUGAAGUUUGUGAGACACUCGAAGAAGAAAGUGCUGUAAAGAGUGCACAAAUAGGACAGAUGAAGGAAAGGGUUGAGUUCUUGGAAAGUGAAAUUGGAGGGUUGAAGGUCUCGAUGUCUGCCUAUGUUCCGGUCAUAGCUUCACUGAAAGAUAGUAUAAUAUCCCUCGAGCAAAUUGCCCUUCUUCAGCCAAAGCUUUGUGUUCCAAAUGGUGACGAAGAUAAGGUAAAAUUAAUUUCUACAUUUAGGGAAUAUUUGCGGUUGAAACUGUUUAGAUAUGCUUGCAUUAUACUACAUUUAAAGUUCUAUUUAUUUGUUUUCACCAGGAUGUAGAAAUGGUUGAUGAACUUUAUGUGGUGAGCUCGGAGAAACUCGAAGAAGGACAAAGUGCGUUUUUGACAUCUGGGAUUUCAGACUUGCAGGAGAUGUGCACUAAGGUUAAAGCAGUCGAAAAAGCUCUGGUGCAAGAGAUGAAUAGGCUUGUGAAGCGGAAAAGUAACAAGAACAGCCACGAGAUUGAUGCUUCAUCUAAAGCCAUUAACCCCUCUAAUUCAGAAAUGAAGAAAGGUAUGCAAGUUGGUGAAGAGGUUGCUCGAAAACUCAAGUCGAAGAAGAUGAAACCUGAAAUUUCUGAAUUGAGAAAUGGGAUAUUGUUGAAAGAUAUUCCCCUGGAUCAUGUCUCUGAUUCUUCAUUAUACAGAGGGAGCAAGAGUAAGAGAGAGACCAGCACAGCUGAUGAUCAAAUGCUUGAACUAUGGGAGUCUGCUGAGCAUGAAUGUGGUGUUGAUUCAAAAAUCAAUGACAUGCAAGAACGGGUGUUUGUACCGGGGGAGAUCAUUGCCUGUCAUCAGUCCAGUGAUCUAGAACCUGAAAACGAGAGUUCUUUGGGAGCAUUGGUGGAGAAAGAGUUGAGCAUUGAUAAGUUAGAGAUAUCUACCAGCAUUAGAGAACCAAAGAAACGAGCUAAAAACCGAAAGGUCUUAGACAGACUUGCUUCUGAUGCUCAUAAAUUGAUGGCUCUUCAAACCUCUGUCAAACAACUGAAAAAGAGAAUGGAAAUCAAGAAGAGGAAGAAGGCGUUCGAUUUAGAAUACGGACAAGUCAAAGAACAAUUGCAAGAGGUGGAGGAUGCAAUCAAGGAGUUGUGCAACGUCAAUGGUGAAUUGACCAAGGAUGUCGAAGGGAGUUCUUCAUCUUUAGACGGGACAAACUCAAAGGAAUUGGAAGGACCUGGAAAGAGCAACUUGAAAAAGGUACGUGAGCAGGCAACAAAAGGGUCUGAAAAGAUCGGAAGGUUGCAGUUCGAGGUGCAGAGCAUCGAGUACGUUAUGCUGAAACUAGAAGAUGAAAGGAAGAACAAAGGGAAAACCCGAACCGGUGUCCUCUUAAGGGACUUUAUCUACAACGGUGGAAGACGGAGUGGAAGACGAAAGAAGGGUUGUUUUUGUGGGUGUGCAAGACCUUCUUCCAGUAUAGACUGAGGCUAAGCAUAUACAGACAGACAGAAAAAAUAAAGCCCUGUUGUUGCUUGAUAAGAUUCAAAGCUUGCCUAAUUUUCAAGGAAUUUAUAUGCUUAGAACCUGUUUUUAGAGCAAAUUAUCACUUCUAGAAUUAGGUCUUGAUGUGAUCAGUUCAUAAGCUGUAUACAGCACUCUAUCUAGUAAUUUUGAGCAAACAAUGUCAAACUAGUAGAACUUGUUAUAUAUCCGUUCCAUUUUAACCUGUUUUUAUUUAUAACUACAAUUCAGGGUAUUUUCAAGUUUGAGUUGGGUUUUUUUCAACACAGCAAGACUACAAGCUAAUUUUUUUUAUUUGAAAAGCAAAUGAAGUAUAAACAUCUUAAAUGUAACCCUAUAUGAUAUUCAUGUAUUUGUCAUUCAUAUUAUGAAUAUUUUAAGGUAAAGAUCAUAUUUAUUUUUUACCAAAGGGUAACAUAUUGUUUACUCAAAUAUUAAGUUGCAAAAUCAUAUCCUUUUAACAUCAAAACCAUGGAGAAAUUCUCUACUACAGUUUUUCGACAAAACUAAAAUGAUCAGCAAAAACUCCUAGAAGCAUAAAAAAACAAGACAAAUUCAUGGACUAUUGUUCUUCGUUCAAGCUCCAACAACCUCUGCAGGAGCCUCAGCCAUUGUCUCAUCAGCAGGCCUCUCUAGUUUCACACCAACAUCCUCUGAGUAGUCACCAUGAACCUAAAUGAAUAAAGAAAACAAGAAAAUAAAGAAAUUAACAAGGCAAGCUCCAUGGGAUAAUAAUUUUAUUGAAAGGUAAGAGAAUAGAUGCCAGAAACUUACCUCCAUCAACUUCCCGAGAUCAAACUUGGGAGCCUUCAAGAUUUUGACCUUACGAACAAACACAUUCUGCAAAGGAUAGAUGCUAGAUGUUGCCUUCUCAAUUUCUUUUCCAAUCACCUCGGGGAUGAACUUUUGAACCAGUUCCUUCAAAUCACAAGAUGUUGCCUGGGAAGUCAUUAUUUCCCUCAUCUUUCGGCGUAUCUGAAAAACAAUAAUUUCACUUGGUCAUCAUGGGAUUGACAAAUUCACAGAAAGCACACAAACACUGCAAACAGUCCAAGCACCGGGGUAGUUUACCUGUCUAAUCUGGCUGGACUGAGCAUAACAAGUCCUUUUAACCUGGUUCGGGCGUCUCUUAGUGAAUCCAAUGCAGAACAAUCUCAAAGUGUAAUUGUCAGUUGUCUUCACAUCAACAUGAGCUUCAAUCAGGGUUUGCCAUUUACGCACCAAAGACCUCAGCCUGUCAGUUGUAAAAUUCAUUCCCUGGAAAUUUGAAAAAGGAAAACGAAUCAAAAUUUUUAAACUUCUAUUGCUAAAAAAGCUGGGAUAAUAUAGUAAAUAAAGGAAGUUUAUAUUAAUCAUACCCAAAAGUUGGUCAAAACAUUUUUUCCUUGAACAUCUUCAGCUCUCAAACGAAUCUUUCUGUAAGCAUGAUCCUCAUCACCACCUUGAAGAUCAGCAAGGAAAACCUCAAACACACGGUGUUUGAGUCCUUCAGAAGCAAUCUGUCAAUGAAAUAACCAAGUUCAAACCACAUACAUAUAACUCAAACAGUAACUAUACGUUAAAUAUACAGAGCAGAUCUAAGUUCAUUGUGCUGUUUCUAUGCGGAAACUUAUAUAUCAAGAACACACAUCCACAGCAUAUCAUAAGUAGAAGAAAGUCAUAAAGGUGAUUAAUCGUCUAAAUAACUGAAGCCGACCGAGACAAGUAAACAAAUAAUAAGUUACAAGUUUCUCAAAUAAGUCCACUUCAAUUGUUGCAUCCUUCUCAAAGAAGUAACCAUGAAGUGCAGAGUCAAAAUAAAUUUAUAGUUUGAUAACAGAUACAAAAUUUCCUCACUCAAUUGAGAACCUUAUGCGUUCAGUAGCCAAUUUUCUUAAUACAAGAUAUUGGUAUUUCAAAAGAAAUGGUAAAUCAGCACUUCAAAUAACAAAAAUAACAUCAUGGUCAUAAAAAAACAACCAGCAAUACAAGCAAGGCUCAGCUCAAAACUGCAGUUCCCAUUUUACAGAGCAAACCAGAAAAUACCAUGAAAAGACAACAGCAUUAAACUUCCAUAUUAACUUCCAAUAAACGCUAAGAAAAGUUCCAAGCAUUGGCAAUGGAAUGUACAAAGAAUAUAAACAAAACCCAAUUUCCUCGAAGGUUGAAAGAAUACAAUACAAUGCAAACAUUUUCGAAAAAUAAAUAAUUUUCUAAAAGAAAACAAACCUUGGUACCCUGAGUACGGGAGACGAGAGUUUUCCCCACAUUUCUGGUAGUGAAAACUGAAGGAGCCUUGAUAUCGUACCAAUCCUUCUUAGCAAAAGGAUCCGCUCUAAACAAAAAAAAAAUCAAACAUUUAACGAACAGAUCUGUUAGUAAAAUACCCAAAGCGCGAUUAAAGCUAAAAACUAGAUCGAUAAAAAACAGUACUCACGCCUUCUUCUUUCCUCCCUUCUUUCCCUUGGAAAUCCUCUUGUUCUUCCUACAUUACAAAAAGAAAGACCCAGAAACAGAUCAGGUUUAAUAAAAAGAAAGAAAGCCAAUUUGAAGAACGAGAAAGAUGAAGGAAAAGGAAAUGAGUACCCGACGGCCAUGCUUCACAAACUUUGCUUUGCUACAAAGAACGGAGCAGUCGGCACCUACUUAGUUUAUUAAGUGUAGGAGUGGGGAGGAAAUCAAAAACCCUAAUUUUAGUUGCUUAUAUAUGGAUGCUUGGCUCUCUCAAGCUGUACUUAUUUCCGACUGUUUGAGAAUCCCGGUUUGUUAUCCGGCCCAGCCCAAUUAGAAUUCUAUUAAUAUAAAGGUUAAAUUCUGUUGUUAGUCCCUGUACUCUUUGUAAAUUCAAAAUUUAGUCGUGCACUUUUAUUUCUAAGAAUUUAAUACCUCAUAUUAUUAACACCAUCAUAUUUCUUUUUUUUAUUUUGUUUGUAAAACAUUUUUGUAAUAAAAAAUUAUUCACUUAGUAAUUAUUUAAUUAAAAAAUGGCAAUAAACUUAAAUCUAAUUGCAUUAUCAAUUGGAAUUCCAAUUUUAAAUCUUAAAAAUAGAAAGAUAAAAAUUCCUUAAAAUAAAAGUAGAGGGACUAAAUAACAAAAAUACAAAUAGUACAAGAAUUUGGAGCAUAUUUUUACCUAAUUUAAAUAGUAAAAUAGGUAAACCCAAGUUUAUAUCAAUUUUAAUAUUUUUAAUAUUUAACAUUUUAAUUUUUUUCUGAUUUUUUAUAUUUUUAUAUUAUUUUUAAUCACUUUUAUGGGAAAAAUAUUAAAUUUAACUCAAAGUUGUCAUGUGUCACCAUCUAGUUGAUCUGUCAACUUAUUUUAAUGGUCAAUGUGGUAAAUAACGGAAACUAUUAAUAAAAAAACUUAAUUAGGUGUAAAUUUAAUACAGUGCCUUAAUUGAUUUUUUUAAUAUUUUUAAACGGUUUUUUUAUAUAAACCUUUUACAAAUUAAAUUAAAAUUAACAGGGUGUAUUAAUUUAAAUUAUAAUUUGAUUUUUAAGUAAUUUUACAAUUGAGUAAGUAAGCAUACUUUUUUUUUAUUUGAUAAAGUAUUUCAUAAUAAAUAAAUAAAAUGUUUUUAGAACUUAUUUAUCAUUCAAUAUAAUUUUUUGUUAUAUUCAAGUAUGCAACUAUUUUGUUUUGAAAUUUAUUUUAAGCAUAGGACAUUAUUAUACAUUUGAAUAUGUUUUAAUAUUUAAUAUAUAAUUUAUAUAACCAAAUUAAACUUUACAAAUUAUUUUCUUUUACUUAAUUAAAAAAGUAUUAUAUCAAAAAUAUUAUAAUAAUGAGUUACAAUAAAUUAUUUUUUGAUAUUUUUAUUGAAAAUAUCAUAAUAUCAACAAUUUUAAAUAUAAUUUAAAUAUACAUAUUUCUAUAUGUUUUAAAAAUAAAUUUAUUUAUCUUCAUUUUAAAUAUUAUUCCAUCGACUGUAUAUAAAAAUAAAAUUAUUACAUUAUUACAUUAUUUAAUUUUAAAAGUACAAAAGAGAUGAACGUAAAGUAGAGUAAAAUGUUUACGCACAUUGCAUUGAAAAGCAAAAAAUAAGAGUAAAGUUCCAGCUUUUGAGCAAGCCAUGAAGCUUGUGCUUAUUCUAAUUAAGAACAUACUGACUUAUAUUUUAAUAUAAAUAAAUGUAUAUAAAUACAAUCUUUCAAAUACAUAAAUAAAAAACCUAAUCAUCAGAAAAUAAAUCAAACAGAGAAUUUCUAUUGACACAAUGUUACUACAUCACUAGUCCCUGCAAUUUUCGCAGGUCAUUGUUCACAGUAAACCUUCUACAUUAGUCAUAGAAGUCAUUUUUUGGCUCCUGAUUACUUUCCCUCAGUUGAAUCGAGCGAAUUCAUUUUCGAGAUUCCAUUUGGUGUUAUUUCAUACUCUUACAUCGUACCCGAAAUGGGAUCUGCAGUAGUUGGUGUUUGUCAAUACCGUACUGGUGGAACCGCACUCACUGUCUAUAAGUGAAACCGAUGAUCUAUCGAGUUUGAUGGACCAAGGGUACUGAUACUGAUACUGGUACUGGGAGUUCUUUUCGGCAGCUCCGACAUGUGAAGACGACCGCUUCAUUUUCAUUGCCUUUGGGACAUGAUUCCGGCCUUCAGUAGACGAUCUCCGCCGGCCGCUAGGUUGUCUCUCGAUCGAAUCCGGUCUCGACUUGGGCGCACUUUGUGACCUGGCUUUGGCUCUUGAUGAUUCGGUGUUGGCCAUGUAAUUGGGGCAGAACGAGUACUCAAAUGUCUCGGAUUCUGCAUAAUGGGGACUGCUUUGUGCUACGGUGAAAAAAUGGUCUUCGAAAUGACCACUGCAAGCACCGGGGCUUAUUUGAUCAGCCAAAUAUGAUGAUGUUACCGGUGAUGCCUGAGGAUUUGAGAAUCUGUGUUCCAUUGAAUAGCUGUUUCUACUCUGCAAACUUGCCUUUGAAUCACCAUGAUCUAUCUCUACAAUCUUAAUGUUUUCCUCCACUCCACUAUCAAUCUCCUACAUUCUCAAAUACCACAUUGCAAAUUAGACAGGUCAGGUUCGUUUUGAGUUGCGUAAAUUUGAGUGAAAUUAUCGUGUUUAUAAAAUAUUUAGAUCAAUUAUCAAGGGGUUAAUUUUUUAUGUGGAUCAUUUCGUCGAGUUUAGUGGAUUCAUAUUGUUAACUAUUUUAAUUAUAUUAAAUUAUAUCGAGUUUGGAUUUAGAUGAAUCAAAAUUUUGAGAUUGGAUCAGAAUUCACAGUUAUAAUAAAAUAUUAUGCGGAAAAAACGUGGAUCAUUGAAAUGAAUCGAAACUUACAUGAUAUCCAUGCCGGAGCCGCUGAUCUGGUGUUGUGGACCUUCUAUGGGGCGAUUGUCUUCGGCUAGCAGGCCUGGAAUCUUCAACCAUCCGAAUCCUCUGAGCUCGAGCUCGAGCUUGUGCGGUAACCAAAGCCUGCAUGCAUUUAAGAGUAACACUAGCUUGUCUUCUCACCAAGUGACCUCUUACCAGUGCCUGUAACUUCACUAUCCCUUUCAACGCUUUCAAAGCUUUCCUUGCCUGUUCAUCAAUAGCACCCACUUCCGAUCUCAUCAAAAACGUCUCAAAUAAAUACAUAAUUCAGCCAUCAAAUCUAACAAAUUAUAACAUACCAGGUAAGAUCGAAACACAGCUUGAAUCAUCUUAGCAGCGGCCUCUUCACCUGCAUCAACUUUCUCAUCGUCAGCACUACCACUUACCCGGAUCACAUCCGUCACAACCGGCGGAGCCGGUGGUGGUGGAGGUGAAGGGGUAACCACUUGUUCUACAGAAUUCAACUCCCUAACAGGCGUCGCUGAAGCCGAAGAUCUCCGGAAACUCCAUCGUCGUUUCUCUUUAGGAGUUGUCGGUGGCAGUGGGAUCGAAACGGUCGUCGUUGGAUUCUCAGGGACAACUGAAGAAUUCUGAUUAUUACUUAUGUUUCUACUUUUGUCUUUCUUACCAGUCAACAGGCUUUUCAACCAUUUCGCUGUCUUCCCCAUCGCUGUUUAAACCAUUCUAGUAUUCACAAAAAUGAAGAUUUUAUAGAUCUCGUAGGGUAUAUUAUAUAUCUAAUGAGCAUUAGGUAAGGACACUAAAUGAUAGCUAAUUAAACAUCUUCAUCUACCUGUAAUAAGAUAUCAAUGGUGACAUCCUCGAUGUUUCUUUAAGUAAAAUUUCCGGUUGGAGUUCAUUAGAUCGGGUUAUUACAAAACAAUGUUUUGGUUGAUUUGGAAGGGAACAUAGCAGAAAGCCAUGUGAAAAUGGGACCAGGGAAGAUGGAGAAUCCGUAUAAAAUACUACUGAUUUUUGAGGUGUAUUAAUUUGGGGAGUGGCAUUUCGAAGAUGGAAAUGCCCUGUCGGGGGUGAUAGUGGGAUCCACUUAGAGAUUAGCAGAGUUAUAGCUUUGGGAUUGGUCGUUGGGAUCUAUGACCAAGCACAUGCUCGUUCUUUCAAAGCUAAGUGUGUGCAGUAUUGUUUUGUCUUUUGCACCAAGUUUUCUUCUGUCAAUAGACAUGGUCCCCCGUUGAAGGCUGCGAUUUAGGUUGUAAAAAUGGAAAUUUUUGUUAAUUUAGUAACUGAUUAUAAAUUUAAAAAGGUGAUUAUGGAUUCAAAUCAUAUAAUUAACAGAAUUUUAUGUCAACAACUUAAUCAUUAAUGGAUUUCAAAUCAUCUCACUUUCAACAAAGUACGUUUUUUAAGGGGAGAGUAUUUAUAGUAGUGAGUAAGAUAAUUUUCUUUCGAUUAUGAGUAUGAAGUAGUUAUGGUACCUCAAUCCAUUUUAAUGGUGAAGUUAAAAUAUUUUUUUUGAAAUUAAAUUAUAUAUUUUUAUGAUAAUAAAAAUGUAUUUUUAUUAUUUUAAUAAAUGAUGUUUUAUACUUUUUAAAUGAUUAGAUCAUUUUUUUAUCAUUUUAGGACCAAAUAUAAUUUUACAAUUACUAAUUUAAAAUUUUAUAAAUUAUAGAAGAGUUUAAACAAAAAAAAUUAUUUUUGGGGGUCGGGGGGCCUACCAACCCCCUAGUUUCACCAUUGAUCCGUUUCUGAAAUUAUUAUUUUAUUUUUAUAUAUAUAAUUAUAAAAAAAAGAAAAAAUAUAAGAAUGUGUUAUAUGAAAUCUCGUAUUUUUUAUGAUUAUUUUUUAAAAGAAAUGUGUUUAAAUAUUUAUUUGUUUUUAAAAAUUAAAAACAAUUAUAAACCAUUAACAAAUUAAAUUAUGAAGAUGGAUACAUUUAACUUCAUAGAGGAUAAGACAAAUAAUAGGAUACAUUAAAAGUGAAUUUAACAAUAUCUAUCUCGCUUAUUUCCUUGUCAGGAUCAAUUAAAUUUAUCUAGGUUAUGGUAACAAUAAAAUAAUGGAUUUAAUUAAGGGGGAAAUGUAAUUGCUUUGGUUAAGCAAAACUAACUAAUUUACUUAUGCAUAAAUGAAUUGCUUUUAGAUUUUUGUUUCUGAUAUUAAUAAAAUGUUGAAAAUUUAGUAAUUUUGUUUAAUGUGAUAAUGUCGUUUGGUAAGCGACAUAAUUUCACCGCCUUUAAACACACCAAUAAAAUUUCCAAUCCCAUGCAAUACACCAAGCCCAGCAAUUCGCAAAUCUACCCUUGUCCUCUCCUCAUCGAAUGCUUUAUUAGUGUAUAACUGUAUUAUAAUUAUAUUUAUCAUAUAUUUAUAUUAGAUUUAACACAUGAAUAAAUAAUUAUUUUGACUUAUCAUGUAUUAUUGACAGUAAAGCACUCACGUAAUCUUCUUAUAUGUAGUAAUGUAUAUUUUUUUGGUACUUAAUAAUGCAAGGUUUGGCUGUCAAUCACAUGGUAGGUUUAUAUAUGAUCCCUCAUGAUCCUUUUUUUAUCUUAAUUCCGAGCUAAUGGUAUCUAAUCUUACAAAGGGUUAAAAGCAAAACUUAAAUCUUAUUGGCGAUCGUUUUAUCACUCUGAGUAUAUAUGGAAAUAUUAGGGUAUCCGCAACUUAUAAUUUAAUAAGUAGGUUGAAAUAACGAAGAUGUUUGGUAAACAGAAUUUUGGGCUUUUUUGGUUGAUUGGGUAUAAAUGGAGUAUUGGGUAGUCAAACCCUCUAAAUGUAGUGUUUGGUGAAUAGAGGUUUGUAAGAACUUGUUGAGCUAAAACCUCCAAAACAAAAAACGCAAGGAUGAGCAUAUUUUUUACAGCUGAUUGAGAAUGAGAUAUGUAGAAUGGCAUAUCUGACUAUGUUUGUUCUAGAAUUACUCUCUUUGCCACAUGCUUUCAAACCUAUUAGAGGUGCCAAGAUAUUGUAGACGACAACAUCGUCUUUCUUAAAUAUUUAUUUUUACUUGUUUCGAUAUGUAUAUAUUUCUUGAAGAUUUAUGUAUUCUUAAUUUAUUUUCAAUUUACCUGUGUAAAAUAAUUUCUUAUGCAACUUUAUAUUAAUUGAAAUAUGUUACUUGACAAAUUUAUCACUAAUUUACAUACUAAGAACAUGACAUAAUUAUCACUAAGAAUAUAGUUUACAAUUAUAUUGAUACACUAUUACUAUUUGCAAAUAAACAACUUAAGAAGUUUGUUUAUUUAAAAUUUCAAAAAUAUUUACUAAUUAAUUUCAUUAAUUAAUAGUGUUUUAUUUCAAUAAUAUCAUGUCAUUAUUUGUCAUUUUACACGUAUCAACUUUCAGCUAAGUUUUACCAAACACUUUUAAAUAAAUAGUUGAUAAAAUCAAUUGGUCAAAUUAAUUAAUAGAAUAAGUUGAUUAAACCAGCUACUACAAUCAACUAUCAACUAAUUGUCAAACAUGACCAAUAAUAAUUAUCAUAUUUUAUAAAAAUUUAAAAUUUUUAUUAUUUUACUAUAUUUUAAAGCGACAUGUGUCCAAAUACUUUCCAUGCAGAAAAGAUAUAAAAAGAUAAAAAUGCAUUUUAAAAAGUAAUAUAAAAAAAAUUGAUAUUCAUAAUUUGUUGAAAUUAACAAAAAGGUCAAAUCCUCACGAGAAGAUCUAAAACAUGGUAGCCAGCAAAUGUGAUUGCUUAUUAUUCUCUCUCACACUAAUAAAACCAAUUACUUUCAUAUACACGUGAUUAUGGUCGGGUCACAGGAUUUGGACCGCUUUAUGCAUGGUGUCAAUAUAUAUAUAAUUACCAGUUUUUUUUCUAAUUAAAAUAUAAAUUAUUUUAAAUUUAAUAUUAAAGAAUUUUAAAAAAAUGAUAACACAUAGAAAACAUUGAGAGUGAAAAUUAAAAAAAAAUUAAAAUAUUAUUCUUUAAAAUAAUAUUUUACAAUAGUUGUGAACAUUUAUAUGAAUUUUUAGAAUUUUUAAAAUUAAAAAAAAUUAUAUAUGCUGUAUUACAUUUAAAUUAAACAAUACAUAUUUUAUGAUAAUUUUUAAAUUUAAUGAAAUAAUUAAAAAUAAAUUUUAAAUUUAAAUUAAUUUAUAAUGAUAAAUUUUAAAGAUAACAACAAAUUUAAAUAUUAAGAUAAAUAAUAUUUAUCCUAAUGAUAAUUAAAUAAUAUUUGUGUUUAUGUUUUUUUUUAAUUUAUGAUAAUAUAAUUUAUCUUUGUGAUUUACGUAAAAAUUUACUUAAAAUAGAAUUUAUCUAACCCUUUCAAUGGGAGAGUGUAUAGUAGAAUGGUGAGAGAGUGUUUCUGGGGAGGGAGGACGAAGCACCAGGUGGGGGCUGAGAUUGGUGUGGUGUCAUUUGGUCAAGAUUGAGAGUUGAUUUCUUUGUAACCAGUGUAGGUGGUUGAGUCUGUGUUUGGUUUGAAGGAAGCUCCAAAUUGGGGUUUGCUGGGUUAACAAAGACAUCAAUCGAAGGAGGAACUAUGGCUCAAUCAACAAGGAAAGAGAUAGGAGGAGACGAUGAUGUUGACAAGGAGACUAGUUCACCCUAAUAGGUGGAGAGCAAUAGUAGGAGAAGUGAAGAGAAGGAGCCAAAUGUUGGUAAGGAAAAUUGUGUGUUGGGUUGAAUGUUUAAGGUCGAUGAAGGGGGAGAGAAUAUCUCCUUAUCAUCAUGUGGUUUGAUAUACAUAGGCGAAAAUUCCCUUGUCUAGUAGUGCAACAUCUGUAACACCCAUUACCCGAGACCGUUGCCGGAAUUGAGUACGAGGCAUUACUUAGCUUAUCUUACUAAUUCGGGGCAUAAAAAUUCGUUUUAAAAAUUAAUUUCACUGUUUACAGUAAUCUGUCCAAUCGCGCAGCAGUUACUAAAUUGAUUAUAACUCGAGCUACGGAAUUUCAAAUUUAAUUUCGUAAAUUUUUCCUGAAACUAGACUCAUAUAUCUUUCUACCAUAAAAUUUUCAGAAUUCUUGGUUUGACCAAUUAGUACAGUUUAUUAGUUAAAUUCUCCCCUGUUUCUUCACUCGACUGUCCUGACCCCUUGGUACUAAAAAUAAAUUUUCUCAUUAUAGGAUUUUCAUAUGAUAUUACCACUUAUUUCUACAGAAAAUAGACUCAAUAAGGAUUCUACACAUAUAAACUACAACUCAUAAAUAUUUUUAUACCAUUUUUAGUGAUUUUCUAAACUCGGAACAGGAGACUCCAGAAAUAGAUCUGACCAUUUCUCACUAAAAUUCACAUAUCUUAAAAUAUAAAUUUCUUUUUGCUACACCGUUAUUUUUCUAUAAAAAUAGACUCAAUAAUCUUUCAUUUCAUACAUCAUUCACCCUCUAAUUCAUUUUAUACUAUCCUAGGUGAUUUUUCAAAGUUACGUCACUAUUGCUGCCUGAAUUUUGUUUCUUUGCAAAAUUUUACCAUUUUAUGAUUUUCAUACCUAAUUUAUCAUUUAGACUUUUAUAACAAUAAUUAACUUCAUCCUUGACCAUUUAAACAACCAUUCAUCAUCAAAUACUUACAUAUCAUUCUAUACUAAAAUCAUAUUUACAAAUAUACAAAAUUACUAAAUUCCUAUACAUGCCAUAACUAAAAGAAAUGUUCACCACCACAAUUAGCUCAGAAUCGGCUUUGGAUGCUGAUUCAACAAUCCGACUUUGACCUAACCUGCGCACGGAAACAACCGUACGUUGAGUAUGGAAAUACUCAGUGGUAUUACCAUAAUUCGAAUUAAUAACAUUAAUCGAUAAAUUAUAUACAUUUUAUUAAUGUCUACAAUUAUUCAUUAAUUAUCUCAUGCAUUAAAUCAACUUGAUAAUUAAUAACAAUAAGCUAUAAUUCAAAUCUUGUAUUUAAUUGUAUUCAUACCUUAUUUCACUAUCUCAAUUCCAUGGGAUUUUUCUUUACAUCUCAUUCCAAUAGUUCAUUUCAAUUCAUAUACAAUUCAUUUCAUUUAAUUUAUAUUCAAUAUAAAUUUUAUUGCAAUUUGUACUCACUAAUAUCAUAUAACAAAAUUUACUCUUUAUCAUAUCAUGAACUUUGGGUUCAUAUCUUUAAAUCUCUUAUCUCGAUUUUCAAAUUCUCACAUCAAUUCACAAUUUCACUUUUGUCCACAACUUAUACUCUUAGCCCAAAGUAGAUUUUACAGAACACCCCGGAUAUACGGAACAAAUACAGAGAGCACAAAUGUGCUAAACAGAGAGCACUGACGUGCUAAAUAUCAAAGAGCACCAACAUGCUAAUAAUCAGAGAGCGCGCUAAAGUUCCUUAAUAAGUUCCUUAAUGGCAUGCCACUAAUAUCCUGGUAGUUCCAAAUUCCAUCUACUUGGGCAUUAAAUCUGAAUCUCAUUUAUUUAAAUACUUUAUAGAAUUAUUUCAAAAAGGAUUUAUCAUUUCUUCGUCAUUACAAUUUACUACUUAUUUCGCAAUUCACAUAUAUCACACUUAUUCACAAUUUAAUUCACUUUUAUUCCAUUCAUAUAUAUAUAUAUUUUUUAAUUCAUUUUCCACUCGAAUUCAUGUACAAUUCAAUAUCAAUAUUCAUCUUAUUAUUAUUAUUUUUUUACUAAACAUAUUAUUUAAAAUUCAACAAUUAUUAUUAAUAAAUUUAAUACCAAUAUGUAUAUAUAUAUUCAUUCAAUUCUUUCACGAUACUCACCUUAAUUUACUUAUCAUGCAUAUGAAUUGAAAUUUCAACGAUUAAUAAUUAAAUUCGAAUUAUAGUAAUACUAACCGUAAUUUCUCUCGAGUCACUCCUUGUCCACUUUCUCCUUUCCUUUCUCGGACAAUGACUCGUACACGACAUUAGCUACAUAAUUAAACAAUUAAAAAUCAUUAAUACACAAUUUCAUUAAAAUAUUUCCUUUUAUACCUAAACUUUGCCCAAAUUCUAAUUUAAUCCAUUAUCAAUAAUAAUUUUAUUUUCCCAAUCUAACUCUAUAUUCUCUCUUAAUUCUUACUAUAAAGUCAAUUUAAUUCCUCAAUUUCACCAUAAAUCCCUAAUUUCGGGAUUCUUUCAAUUUAAUCCCUAUCAAUUCAAAACUUAUAUUUUAUUUUACAAUUACAUUCUUUACUAACUUCUAACUUGAAAUUAAAUCAAUUUAACCCCUAACUAAACCUAUAUAUUUUUCUUUCUCAAUUCAUACCCUUAUUCUACCCAAUUUCUUGCUAAACUCAUAUUUAACUAUUUAAUUUUUAUCAUGUUUUCAUAAUUCCGAAUUUAUUUCAAAUUAAUCCCUAAAAUUCAAAACUUAUAGUUUAGUUUACAAUUCAAUCCUUUAUUCAAUUCCAAUCAAAAUUUCUAUCAAAUACAUCCCUAAUUUAACAAUUUAUUCAACAUGAACCAUGCUUAAUAAUCUACUAACUUCCAAAUUUUCAACUUAAAUCAAGUAGUAUUUUGUUCUAGGAUUUCAAAAAAAAUAUCAAAAUUAAGAGAAAAGGGGAUUAAAUUGACUUACCAAAUUACUUUGAACCUUAAAACCCCAAAUUUCCCUUUUUCUUUUCUUUUCUUUCUUUCUUUCCUUCCUUCCUUCUCUGUUUCAUUUUGCUCUCUGUUUCUUUCUUUCUCCCUUCUCUGUUUUGUUUUGCUCUCUGUUUCUUUUCUUUCUUUCUUUGUCAUAUAUAUAUAAUAAUAUAAUAAUAUAAUAUAAUAUAAUAUAUUAAUAAUAAUAUAAUAUAAAAACAUAAUUAUUACUUACGCAUGUAUAAUAUAAUAUAUAUUUUAAAUUAAAAAUAUUUUAGAUUUUUCUUUUGUUAUGCCGCCUCAACUUUAUAAAAAGGCAUAAUUUCCUAUUUGGUCCUUUAACUUUUCUUUAAUCUAUAAUUAAACUUUUAUCCUUACUUCAAUUUAGUCCUUUUUCAUAAUUAACUAUCAAAGCGUUAAAAUUUCUUUACGAAACUUUAAUAUUAUCCUAUUGACACUCCGUAAAUAUUUUUAUAAAUAUUUACGGCUCAGUUUAUAAUAUCGAGGUCUCGAUACCUCGUUUUCGACCCAAUUUACCUAAUAAUUUCUUUUAAAUCACAAAAUUCACUGAUUCAAAAAUAUUUCUAAAAUCACACUUAACUUAUAAUUAUUAAUUAAUAAAUUUUACUAACUUUUUCAUCAAUUUUAGUGAUCUCAAAUCACUAUUCUGACAUUACUAAAAAUUGGGCUGUUACAACAUCGCCAACAACUUUGAGAUAUGACAAAUAGAGAAGUUGUUACACAUUACUGCUUUGACAUUCUCUUUGUUGGGGGUAAUCUAAGGUUAUAGGCCUUAGUGGUUCCCUAUUGGGAAAUAAGUACAUACUCAUUAAAAAGUGAGUGGCCUAAUGGAGGGUUUAUUAUUUAGCGAGUGGCUGGUCAUGAUACAGUGUAAAUCAAAGGGCUGUGUGUAAGUUUUUAUAGGUUGUUUCUCAUAAUACCACGUGUCCAAAUCAGGGUAGGGGUAUAACAAAUUUAUUUAUUAUUUAUUGUGGAUUUGUUGUAUUAUGGAUUAUUAUAUGCAUAGAAUGAAAUGAUCUUAUUGUUUAAUUUAUGAUUUUUUUUUGUUUAUUUUGAGUUUGUUUAAUGAUUUAUAUUUGUGAAGCUUAUUAAAAAAUGUUUUAUAUAAUUGAUAAAUAUUUUAAAUUUGAGAUUUAUUUAAUCUCAUUAUUUGUUAUUUGUAAAUAAAUUUAUAUACAUAUAUCAAAUGAUUUUAAAAAAAUAGUGAUAAUUACAAAAUGAUACACUAAAAUAAAUCAUUAUCAAUACAUACUUGUAUCAAUAGAAAAUUUAUAUAUAUCCACCUGUACGAUACUAACUACCUUAAUCGUUAAAAUCCAACUACAAGAAAUAAUUUUAUUUUGUUUUUUCUUGAACUUAUUGUUUUUGAAUCCCUAAACCUACAUCUAUCCAUGAAAAAGUUUAUACAACUUAACACUAUUUUAGCUAAGACCUUUCACCUCUUAAAUUUAAUACGAAUAACAAUAUUAUCAAUAAUUACAACGAUAGAUGUCAAUAUGGUAUUGGUGUCGGCCAUAUUCCAUAUUGUUCUAAAGUAAUGCUUCAUCCCUAUCAAAAUUUUGAUGUGUUUUGAAUAGGGAUUUAAUUGAGUGGAGUUGAAUACUAAUAAGUUUGAGUUUAAUUUAAAAUUUGAAGUAUGAGAUUCAGUUUGAGUUCAAUUGAAUAUUUAUUUUUAAGUACUCGAGCUCAAGUUCGAUUAAGCUUGUAUAUCAACUUAUGUAUAUUUAAGCCUGAAGUUGAGUUCAAUUAAACUUGUAUGUAUUCAAGCUCAAUUUCAAAUUCGACUUGAUAAUUAAACUUAAGGUUAAUAAUAUUAUAUUAAGGGUAUUGAGUAACAUAAUUUAAAAAUGAAAAGCUCAAUAAGAUCCAUGAAUUAUUUAAGUCAAGUAUUACUAAGUUCAAAUCUAACUCAAUUAGUACGCGGUCUGUUUGAGCUUAAACUUAGCUUGAUAAUUACUAUUAUACCCCCACCACAACACAACAUCGGCAAGCUGUUGAACAUUUCACAAAUGACCCUCUGCGUGGAACAGUCUGCAUACAACCCUCCAUUAGGAAUUGUCUACAAGCAACUCUUCACAAAUUUUGUUUGAGUUAAUCUAUAGGCAGUUCACUACAAACCCAUCACUGAGACCAUCAAAGCAUAAUUGUCUCUUACUACCCCAAGGACGAGAAUAUCAAAGUAGGACCGCACAUUAUAUUCCAUAGAGACAACUGAUCUGCAACGGCCUUGUCACUUGGUUAACCUUCACAACAUAUAGAGCAUUAUACUGUGAGUUAUGUGGCACUAUAGGACAAGAGAUGACCCCAUAUAUAAUCCUGGGUGCAUGAGGAACUAGGGAUUGGCCCCUUUCCUUAGCAAUACACAACAACACUAGAGCAUUUUUCUUCUCCUCAUAACAUUGGCUCUCCACUUGUCAUAGGUGACUGACACUCUUUUCAUUGUCCUUCCCUCUUAACAUCGAUUUUUUGUUUGUCACAGGUGAAUUGGUACUCCUCUUUACCAUCCUCCCUUCCUUCCUAAAAUCGAUUCUUCACUUUUCACAAAUAACCCAUAUCAACAAUAAUUAAAUAUUGACACGUGAUUUACAUCCUUAAUUUUAACUGUAUUAAUUCAACUCGACUAACACGGAAUACGUACCUACCCACCAGUAAUUAAAAAAACUAAACACAUAAAAAUCAACACAUACGACUUUAAAAAAACAAAAAAACAAUACCAGUAAUUAAACUCAGCCUUAACUUCCAACUAUCAACGACUUAUAAGCCGAAGUCCACUCCACGUUAAUGCUCCCACCAGUCAAAUUCACCGUCCAUUUAUUGACAAGGCCCCCCUUCGCCGCCUUGUUUUUUCAAACUCUUCGACCCUUCCAGGUUCCUCCAACUCAAUAAAAACACAACACUUAUACAAAAAACCACCCUUAGUCCUCCAACAUUCCCCUCAUGGCUUCUCUCAAUUCCCUUCCCUUCAUUGCAAUCUUCCUUGUUCUUCAUCUUAGCAUUGCUAAAUCCGACUUUUUAUCACCCCUUUUCCCACCUAUCUUUGGUUCGUCACUUACUUCCCUUUUUUUCAAAUUUUAAUCCUUUUUUUUCUUUUUCUGAUUGGUUUCUGAGAUCCUUGGGUCUUUUCAUAACUUGGGUUUUUCUUAAUUAAUAUUUUUUAGUGAGGUUUAAUCAUGUAUUUGGGUUUUUUUUGUUCUUCCCUUUUUGUUGCAGAUGAUGUAUGCAAAGAAGUGCAUUGUGGAAAAGGAAAAUGCAAGCCUUCAUCAAAUGGAACACUCCCUUAUACUUGUGAAUGCGAUAUUGGUUGGAAACAAACAGCUGCUGAUCAUGAUGAUCAUCCCAAGUUUCUCCCUUGCAUUUUUCCCAAUUGUAAAUAACCCCUCUGCUUGCUUUUUUCUCUUUACUUUUUUAAGCCUAAUCGUCACCUUUAAUUGUUACCUGUUUUAGUUCCUACAAGUUAUUUAUGUAUUGGUUAUGCUUUCUAUGUAUAUAAUAUCAAAUCAUGAAUCCUCUCUGGCUUUGGCAUUAAUUUGAUGAUGUUAUGCAAGGGAAAUCUUGAUAAUUUGUGGAAAUUACAAAGUGGUCUUUGGGGUAGUAUUGGGAACUCUAUUAGACUAAAUUGAACCAUUGAUUAAUCCCGCCUCCAUCAUGUGAAGCUGAUUGUGUUGUUGUUUUUAAGCCUUUUUGGUAGCAGUAGUUUUUGUUUUAGAAGCCAAUGAGACCUUGGUUGUGUUAGCAAGGCAUUGAGCGCCCAUGUUCUAGUGGCCGUGUUGAAAAUUAUGCUUGGGAUAGUUCAAUUUAGAGCUCUUAAUGAUUGGUUUUGAUUGGAACUAUUGACAGUUGGAUUGUUGGUACGGGGUUGUGAUCGAUUAAUUUGUGGAUUUCAGGUACGCUUGAUGCUUCUUGUGCAGCUGCUCCUUCUCCUGUGCAAGAAAAGGAAGCCAAAGCAAAUCGAUCUAUUUUUGAUAGUAAGCUUUGUACUAUUUUAAGCUUUGGAUUUGGUCAUUUUAUGUUCUUUUCUUCUUAAUGUUAAUGCACUUGUUCAUGGUUUAACAGUCUGCCGUUGGACUAAUUGCGGUGGUGGAUCAUGCAACAAGACAUCACCGUUUACGUAUGACUGCAAAUGUUCAGAGGGUUAUUUUAAUCUUCUUAAUGUCUCUGUCUUCCCGUGCUACAGAGAAUGUAAGAACACAUAGGCUCCCAGUUUUAGUGUAGCAUCGAUAAUGGUGGUUAAGUAGUAUAUGCUAAAUGAGUUUGAACUUUGUGAACUUUAAGGUGCGAUUGGACUGGAUUGUGCAAACCUUGGGAUCACCACGUCGAAUAAAUCUACUUCCGCAACACCAUCAUCUUCCCAAAACAAUGCGAAUAGAGGUAAAAACCGAGCACAUAAAUCUCUGUCCUUCUUUGGUUUGACUAAAGGAAAAACAGCAUGCUAUGACAUUGUCAACCGAAAAAUAAAACCCGAUAUUACUCCGGCUUUCAUUUUUCUUAAAGUACUCAUAUCAUGAAAGAAAAUAACAUCUUUCUAUUUCUUCUCUCAGCUGGGUCGAAGCUGCUAGAGAAUUGUCAAUGGGUGAUAAUGUUGGUAUUGUUGCUGGUUAUGGUAGUUUGAUUUGUAUAUAUAUAAAGCCGAUGCUCGGAGUUUCGUGUUCCAUGGAUAGCGCAAUUCGAGCAUGAAGACGAUGCAAUAUUUGUAUGUAAAUUUUCAUAUCAUAUCAAUAAACUAGCCAUUUUAGGAAGAAGGAAUCUUUUAUAGUUAGUAAUUUUGCCUUUAUGUUAUAGGAAAUUUGUAGAUGGAUUUCCACAUAGGGUUAUAUUAUUUCUUAUUAUGGCAUUUAUGACAUUUUUCAUUGUUUUUCUUUAUUUUUUUUUGUAAUUUAUAGCUAAGGAUCCAAGCAUAUUUUUUUUAAUAUCAUUUUUAAGGUCGACUGUAUAAAUCAAUUAAGUUACACUUGGGAUUUCUUGAUUUAAAAGGUAAAAUCUUGUUGUAUAUUAUAGGGUAAUCGACCUAUUCAUGGUUUAGAUGGUUCCACAAAUUGGGCUUUGGAUAAGUCAGGUCUGAACUGAAUUCAAACUAAAUAAUUAGAAAAAUAUUAUUAUAAUAUAUAUUGCGGUAUAAAAAUGGACCGUCGGACAAGAUGGGUUUAAUUUUGGUCUAAACAUUAAAAAGAGAAAAUUUUGAAUUGGGCCCUGUCUCAAUUCGGCCCAUUGGCUAGUCUAUUGUAUUAUGGCUGUGUCUCUCAAUCAGACUAUAUUUGUGCCCAUUUGUAUUUUUUAAGGACAAUAUACUGAGUUUAAUUUUUUGAUAUUUAAUAUAGUAUUUUUAUUUUUUAAUUUAAAAUUUAAUCAUCAUUUAAAUUUUUUAUCCCAAUUAAAUAUCUAUAUUUUUUAUUAGAGCACAUAUAUUAAAUAUUUAUCUGUCACAAAAAUAUAAUUAAAUUUAAGAAUCGAAUUGAAAAUUAAACUUAAAUUUAAGUACUUAAUUGAAAAAAAUAUUAAAUUGAGCAAAAUUUAGAUAUGUUAACUUUUUUUUUCUUAAUAUUAAAUUAUUUUAAAGAAACUUUUGGGAUGAUUGAUUGGAGAAGUAAUGAAUUAGGACAGCAGACUGAACAAACAUCCCAAUCUGUCACAAAACCCUAAUCACUAGUAUCCCUCCACCUUGUCAUUCAUCUUCAACUCUUCAAUCCCAUCAAAUCUCCUAUCAAUUCACAAUUUAAAACAUUUAAUUUUUUUAUUAUAUCAUAAUUUCGGUAUACCAAAAUAAUUAAUACAACAUAAUUUAUUUGAUUAUUAAAUCUAAUUUUGCCCUUUCCCAUUUUAUGUGUUGGCAUUAAUUAUGGGUAUAUUUGUUUUUAAUUAAAAAUUACAUUUAUUAAUAAACUUAUAUUUUAUUCACCUAACUUUAAAAAGUUACAUAAUAAAUUUUGAAUUAUAUGAAAAUUUUUAUUUAAAUUAUUGAACUAUUUAAAAUUUGAAAAUUUGUAUUUAAAUCACUGGUAUGUUAUUUUUAAAAGUUUGGUUAAAUGAUGUCUCAACGACGAUUCGAUGAUCGAAAUCUACCAAUAGAUAACAAUCUUAAAUUCAAGUCAAUUUAACUAUCAUUGUUAAAUAUUAAAAAAUAUUUAAAUUUUGAUUCGUAAAUUUAUAACGUUUAAAAUUAUUUUAUUAAAAAAUUAAACUGAAGAAGAAAUGAAAAUUGAAAAUUGAAAAUUUUCGGUUGGUAAUCGACAUUACAACAACGAGUUUAAUAAUUUAAUUCCUUAAAUAAACACUUUUAAAUAUUUUAAUGAUGGUUUUUAAUUUUUUUAAAAAUUAAUUUAUAAAACGUAAGUAUGUUUUUCUUUUUCAAAAUUUUCAUACCAUUGUUUACUUUCACGAAAUUCCGAGAGAAGGAGAGUUGACAGUGCUGGCUAUAUUUAUGAGUAAAGAGAAAUUGAAUUUAGUCUUUGGAAAUUGGAGCCGCCAAUCACCCUUCUCCUUCUCUUCACUCUCACAUCUAAUGUCACAAUUUGUCUCUCUUUUAAUUAAUUAUUGUACUGUAAUUAGGUGUACUUUUUUUUGGAGUAGGUGUAAUAUAUAUGAUAAAGUAAACUAUAGCUGGUCACUUUUGUUUACCUUAGGUUUCGCUUUAGUCACUUAUGUUUGAAAUGUUACGUUUUAGUCAUUUACGUUAUCAUGUUGUAACAUUUUAGUCACUGAGUUAUUAAUCGUCGUUAAUGGUGUAACGGUAAGCUGAUAUGGCACGUUAAAUCAUCAUUUCAAACAAAAUUUUAGGUUAAAUUAUACAAUUGAUCCCCAUAUUUUUUUCGUUUUAAGUAAUUUAAUUUUUUUCUUUUAUGUUCUUUAAACUUUCCUCUUUUUUUUCAUUCUCUUUUGUUUCUCCCUCUGUUUUCAUACCUUUCUCAUUUCUUUUAACAUAUUAGGAAGUCGAAUUGGCAAUGAAAAAAGAAGUAGGAAGUCGACUAUCAUCAUUUGCCUAUAACCAAAACCCAUAAACCCAUACCAUGCUUCUUUUUUCACUACCAAUUCGACUUCUUGGUAUGUUAAAAUAAAUAAAAAAGGUAGAAAAACAGAGGGAGAAGUAGAAGAGAAUAGAAAAAAAAGAAAAAAAAAAGAAAGAAAGUUAAAAGAACAUAAAAAAAAUUAAAUUGAUCAAAACGAAAAAUUAUGGGGACCAAUUGUAUAAUUUAACCUAAAAUUUUUAUUUGAAAUGAUGAUUUAACGUGUCACGUCAGCUUACCAUUACACCAUUAACGACAAUUAAUAGCUCAGUGACUAAAAUGUAACAUUUCAAACAUAAGUGACUGAAAUGUAACCUAAGAUAAACAAAAGUGACCAUGGGUAUAGUUUACCCUAUAUGAUAUAAUAAUCGACUAAUACCCUAUAUUUGGUCACUUAAUUUGUGUACAUGUAAAUAAAUAUCUUAAAUUUAUAAAGUUAGUAGGUCAAAGAAACAGGGUGUCAAAAGAGAACAUAAAAGAAAGGAAAAAUAAUUAGAAUUUAUAGUAAUUUUUAUCUAUUUUAAAAAGUUUUAAACUAAAUUAUUAAUAAUACGAUUGAUUCUAAAAUUCAAAUAAUUACAUAUAAAAUAAAUGCUUUUCUUUUCGAAGUAAAGAAAUGCUUUUUUAUUUAAAAAAGAAAAAGAAAAAACAUACUUUCAAGCCUUUUGGUCAGAAUAUGAAAUCAAAAGAGGGGACGAUGACGCCAGCCAACCUCGCCCACACCCAAUUUUCCCGCUAAAAAUUACCUUUUACGUAAGGUGAUUCUGAUGAGAUUAAAAGUAAGUCUUAUUUCCAAAAUUAACCCUUAAAUUGUACUAUUUUUACAUUUUGGUAUACUUUUUAAAAAACUGGCAGAUAUCAAUUUAGUCCAAUUUUACUUAAAAAGUAUAAGACAUUCAAUAAAAGCAUGUUGUAUGACAUGUUUUUAUUGGUUGAUAUAUUGUUUUAAGGUAAAAUAAAAUAAAACAUUAUUGAUAGUUUAAGUACUAUUUUAAAAAAAAUUAAAUAUUUAUGUGAAAAUAUGGUAUAAUUUAAGAGUAAUUUUAUAUUUAAUAAUAUAAAGUAAUAUUUAGUCUUUAAACUUAUAAUUUUUUCAGUUUUGUCCCUAAUUUUUUAUCCAUAUUAUUCUCGAAAUUUAGUAGUUUUUCUCGAUUUUAUCUUUAAACAUUAAUUUCGGUACGAUUUGAUGACGUGAUACUUUGAUAUUAUACUACGUCAUUACCUAAGUUUUUUAACUUUAUAAUUUUUAAAUUUUAAGUGAUUACGUGAUAAAAUUUCAAAAUAUCAAGUAAUCACGCAACUCUACCAAAUUAAUAAUAAUUGUCAGACUAAUAUAACCAAAACAAUUCAAGGAUCACACAGAAAAAUUUACCGAAUUCAGGGACUUAACGUUGCUUUAACCCUAUUUAUGUUCUUAUUAUCCCGUUCUAGUUACUACCUUUUCUACUUCAUCAUCCAGCGCUCGACACACAAAGGGAAAUCCGUAUUUCCAAUUUUAUCCUCCCCUCGUAACACAAAAUUACAACUAUUAACAUCUCCCAAUAAAAAUUACGGCCAUUUCCUCACUACUGUCACAUUACAUAAAACUCAACUCAGUUCCUUUUGUCCCGAAAAAGCUUUCCUUCCCAAAAGAGAGAACGACAAAGAAAAUGGAGAAACCCGUCGUCGAACAGUGGAUGCCGAAGCCAAUGACGGUACCGUACCGGCCACGGGAGAUAGUACGUGAACCAAUGGAGUUUUUAUCACGUUCCUGGAGUGUUUCAGCUCUAGAAGUUUCAAGAGCUUUAUCAUCUUCAUCGUCAACCCAACCCGUCAGUUCUCAACAAACGUGUUUAAAAGGCUCUUCGAGUGGUAACGGCAUUAUAAAAGAAGACAUUUCCGGCGAGAUUGAAGACAUUGGCUUAGUUUCAAGCAACCCUUUUACUUUUGCUUCUUCUGAAACUUCUCAAAUGAUCAUGGAAAGAAUCAUGUCACAGUCUGUAAGUGUUGUAGAACAAUGGGGUUUUCUUUUAAGGUUGUUUGUUAUUUCUUUUAACGUUAAUUUGUCUUUAUUAGCAACAAGAAGUAUCUCCAAGAACUUCAGGGAGGCCAUCUCAUAGCAGUGGACCAUUAACUGGUGCUCAAAGCUGUGGUUCAUUAACUGAUAGUCCACCAAUUUCACCUUCAGAGAUUGAUGAUGUUAAGGUUCGUACAUUUAAAUUUGAUUUUUGAUGGUGUUUUAAUCGUGGCACUUAAUGAUGAUGAAAAUAACAAGCUUUUUUAUUAGUUUAAUGGCACCUUUACCGUUUUUUUACAGCAAUUUUGCCGCGCUGGUAACUCUGUCAACACGCAGUUUCGUACAACCUCGGCUGUUCCGGCGACGGUGGCUGUCCCUCCUACGACUUCCGUGGCGGUUGGUGGUGGAAAGACGGUGGGACGAUGGCUGAAGGAUAGGAAAGAGAAGAAAAAGGAAGAAACACGGGCUCAUAACGCUCAGCUACACGCUGCUAUUUCAGUUGCCGGGGUUGCGGCAGCUGUGGCAGCUAUUGUGGCGGGGACGGCAGCUUCGUCGGGUGCCAGGAAAGACGAACAGAUGGCGAAGACAGAACGGGCGGUGGCAUCAGCCGCCACCCUCGUUGCUGCACAGUGCGUCGAGGCGGCUGAAGCCAUAGGAGCCGAACGUGAACAUUUAGCCUCUGUAAUCAGCUCUGCCGUCAAUGUACGGACCGCUGAAGACAUAAUGACCUUAAACGCCGGUGCAGCAACAGGUAUAUAUAUAAAAGAUAACCAUUAAUCAAACAUCUAAAACAGAAUGAAAUUUGUUUAAUUUUACUGGGGGUUUCAUUAUUUAGCAUUGAGAGGAGCAGCCAUAUUGAAAGCAAGGGCAUUAAAAGAGGUAUGGAACAUAGCAGCUGUUAUCCCUAUGGAAAAAAGUGGUGGCAAUGGCAGCAACGGCAGCUCUAUCGGCGGCUUUAGCGGUGAACUUCCCUCUGAAGAGAAUUUCUUAGGGGUUUGCAACAGAGAAUUGCUUGCUAAAGGUUGUGAACUUCUCAAACGCACUAGAAAAGGUAUAUAAUUUCAUCCAUAUUCCAUGCAAAGCCCGUAGACAAAACUCUUCCGGUAUUGUUUAAUUCGAGUGUUUUUAAAAUUUGGGUUUGUUUUUUAUCUAAUCCAUUUUAGCUUCAAAUUAUGUUGAAAAUUUCACUUAACCAUUGAAAUCAUUGUUUUUCAGGUGAUCUUCAUUGGAAGAUAGUCUCUGUUUAUAUAAACAGAAUGAACCAGGUAAGGUUGCAUUGCUCAUAAUUAGGAAAAUAUAUCAUAUUAGCUCAAUUAUUGGGGAAUCAAUGGAGGUUCACAUAAUGUUAAGUCCUAAACAAAAGCAAAGAAUCUAAAAAAAAGAAAGAAAGAAAGGAAAGCUGAUGACAUAGACUGUGAUCUGUUUGCUUUGUUUCUCCUUUAUAUACAUUCUUUUUGGACAUGGAAAUUUGUGUCUUUGUAUAUAGGUUAUGUUGAAGAUGAAGAGUAGACAUGUUGCUGGGACCAUUACAAAAAAGAAAAAGAGUAAGUGAUUAUUAUUCUUUUUUUGUCUUCUCUGUAAUAAAACUGUGUAAAAAGAAAGUGUAGAAAUGAAUGUGGGUCUUUGUUCCAUUUGGGGAUUUGAGAAGAGUAUCAAAAGGGAUUGGGUCAUUGUUAACUUUAAAUGUUCUUUUUGGAAAUUUUGCUGUAGAUGUUGUGAUAGAAGUGAUUAAAGAUAUGCCGGCAUGGCCCGGUCGUCACUUGCUUGAAGGUGGAGAGAACCGGAGGUACUUUGGGUUGAAAACGGCAAUGCGUGGGGUCGUUGAGUUCGAGUGCAAGAACCAAAGAGAGCAUGAUGUUUGGACUCUGGGUGUGUUAAGGCUACUCUCCAUAGCUGCUGAGAAGAACAAUAGAUAUUAGAAUUUGAUCUUAGGGGGUUGAGUGGGUGGAUCAUUUUGUGACCUAAUUUUGAACUGGAAAGUGUAAAAUGUUUUUGUGAAUAUUUAUUUCAUCUAUAUUGUGAUCUAUGUUUGAUUGUUCUUUUUCACUGUGUGUUGGACUAAGGGAUGGUCAAAAAGAGGCCAAUUAGAUGAAGGAAUAAGUAUGGGAUAUGAUAAAAAGGAUUUAAAGAGACCCAACCUUGGCUUUAUUAUUUAAUGCGAGGGGUCUAGUUUUUAAAUUUGCUUUUCGGCCCUUGGAUUUAGGUCUUGUUUAUGCCUUAUGGUGGGUCUACUUUUCAUGUGUUCUAUGGUUGGGAGGAUCUUUCACUUUCAUCACUUGGAACUCAAGCUGGGAAAAGGAUUGCCCAUAUUGUGACUUGACUUGACUCCCAAGGUUCAUUAUUCGUAUUACCUCAUAUUUUUCUCUUUUCUAAAUUUAAUAAUUUAAUUUAAAUCGUUUUAAAAUGUGAUUUUUAUUUUACUUUUGUUAGGCCAUGAAAUUUUUUUUUAUUUAAGUUCUUUAAAAUUUUUAGAAUUUUAAAUUAGUAAAUUUGUACUUUGAUCUCUUUUAAAAAUUAUAAAAAUAUAAAUCUUUCUUAAAUUUUUUUUUCUAGUUUCACCCUUCUACAAAGUUACCUUCGAUCACAUUGUAGUGCUGUGUUUUAGUUUAUUCAUGGUUUAAUACAUAAUUUCAUCUUUGAGUUUGAUAUUUCUUUUUUAAAAUGAUUUAAGGUAAAAAUUAAACUCGUACCUUAAUAAAAAAUAUAUAUAUUUUGGUGAUUUAAGGUAACGUUAUUACAUUUUUUUAUUUAAUUUGGGUUUUUAAAAUUGAAUUGAUGAAAUUUCAUAACCGAAUCAAUUUUGAAAUCUGAAUUAAAUCAUAUUCAUUAAACUGUAUUUUGCCAAAUUAAAUAAUUUCACAAUUAAUACUAAAUUUAUUCUUUUAGUAAAAUUGUGAAAAUUUUAAAUAUGAUAAUAUUAAUAACUUUCACCAAAUCAAUCAUAAAACUGGAAUUAAAUAUUAAAAUGUUAACAUUAUUACUCUUGGAUAUCAAAAUAUGUAACUUUUAUCAAAUACAAGUACUAAAUAAUAUCUUAAGCCUUUAUUCAUUUUGUUGAUUUGAACUAAAAAUGUUCAUAAGCUAGGUCAAGUUGGGUUCGGGCUGAGUCUAAACUUGAUAUUAACACACUUUAUGUUUGCCCAAACUCAGCUCAACUCAAAAUAUGGGUUUAAAACCUUGCUCAAGUCUACCUAUAGUUGUAAAUAGUUAACCCAAACUCAUUUUAAACCCGUCUAUAUUAUUUUUAAAAAAUUUUAAAUAUAUAUUUUUCAUUUUGUUUUAUUUUAAUAUUUAAUAAUUUUAUAUAUAAUCAUCUUAAUUUUUUUAAUGUUUAUAUUAUAGGAGAUUUAUAUAUUACUCUGUAUAAAAAAACAAUAUAUUAUUGUAUUUAAUUUGUGUUAUAAAUUAUAUGAUAUAAAACAUUAUAAACUUAAAAGUCGAGUUGCACAAAUUCCUUUUUUGGCUUAACAUUUUUAUCUAAACUCUCCUAAAUUUCAGAUAAACUUUCAAGCUUAGACGAAUAACUUAACCCAUGAACAGAUUUAAAAUCAACUGUAUAAAUCUUAAUUUUAGCCCAUGACUGUGGGGUAAAAUAAAAUAGAGUUAUUUUAUCUAUACGCUAGUCCGAUAGUUAAAAGCCCAAUUGCUGUAAAAGUAAAACUACAAUUAAGCCCAAUGUCAGUAUUGCAAAGACCUAGGUUGGGCUUUAAUUUGGACUAUUUUUAUUAUUGGACUGAUCCUAAACCAGGAUUGUGUACUAAAAUUUGUGAUGAUCCAUGGGUUUUUAUUAAUAUUUCAUUUUCAUCCAUUAUCUUUAAAAUUUUACAUUAAGCAUUAUCCAUGACGUUUAUAAAUAUUUCAUUUUGGCAUUUGGAAGGGUUCGAAUAAAACUAUUAAGCUCGAACAAUAAUUUCAGAAAAAAAUAUUAUGUCCAUUUAAAAUACGAGAUAUGUCCAAAUAUUCAAAACUCAAGCUUGGUCCAAUCUUUUUUAAAGUUUUUAUUUAGGGAAUAUGUUGUAUUAUAAAUAUGUAAUCUUUAUCAUGUAAAAAAUAAAUAUGUUAUACUAUAAUUUAAAUUCUAAAAAGAAAAUAAUGUUUUAGUGAAAGGAAUAUAUAUAAGGGUAGUAAAAAAUAUAUAUUAUUAAAAAGUACAUAAAAUUACAUAUAUAUUUUUAAAAAUAUGACUAACCUAAAAAAAUUGAGCGAAUUAAGCUUAUAUUUACAAAUAUGGAUGAAAACGAAACAUUACUAAAAAUUAUAGAUUAUACAUCUCAUUAACUAAAAAAAUGAUAUUCUUAAUAAGAUUUAUUAAAAUAUAAAUCUACUAAAAUUAAAAAACGUAUGGAAAAUAUUUAAUUUUAUAUAAAUAUCUUAUUUUUUAAAAUUAGAUUAUAACACACAUGUGAUGUGCAUGAAAAAUUUACCUAAAAAUUUAUAUAUAAGCUUUAUUUAAAAUUAUAAAAUUAAAAGUUUAAAUAUUAUUAUAUGGACAUUUUUUAUUAAUUUUAUAUAAAAAUAAAACCAUCCCAACACCAUAACAAUUCCAAAAAUAAAAAUGGUCUAAACCUAAAAUUAAAUUCUUAAAAGAAAAAAAUAUUUACUAACAAUGAUGAGAUGGUCACAACUCACGAGUGAUAUUCAUUCUUGAAUUUAUAUUAAUUUUUUUUCGAUAAAUUAGUAAAUAUAAGUAUUGAAUGUAAUUAUGUUGUUUGAUAAAUUUGUCAGCGUGACAUGUUGAAUCGAAAAAAUACUUACUUUAUUCAUGUAAUGAAAAAUGAUAUUGCAGUAAACUUCAAUUUAACAAAUAAAUUUACGAGUGUUAACAACUCUUAAAAAUUACGUCAUUAUUUUAAUCAAAAUAAAAAUAUUUAAACUAACUAAUAAUAUUAUAAAGUUAAGAUAUUAAAUUAUGUAAAAAAUAAAACAUAAAGAUUAAAUUUUAAAUUUAAAGAUAAUAUAAGUACCAAAAGUGAAAAUUAACUAUUAAUAUAGAAAUUAAAAACCGCAAAUGGCAGUGAAAAAAAAAAAGGCAAUUGAGUUGACAGGUGUCACAAUAAGAAAUAGGAAUGGACAUUACCUUUAUAUAGUAAGUAUAGAUAUUUUUGAAAUGUAAAAUAUAUCUAUAUAUUUUUCAUUACAAAGUUGGGAAAAAGAGAAGAUGAUAAAAGUUUGAAUUGGUAAUUAAAACUGAAAACAAAAUUAUCAUUUCCGUUAAAAAGAAUAAAUAAAUAAAUUUGUAAAAAGAAAAAUAAAUAAAUAUAUUAUAUUCUUAAUAAGAGAGCGCAUAUCAUUAUUAAAAUAACAUCUUUAUAUCUCGAAUAUAAACCAUAAAAUAUAAAAUAAUUAGUAAUAUUAUUUUGGUUAAAAUAAAUAAAAUAAUUUGAUUAAAAUAUCUCUACACAAAAAAAUUAUUAAAACACAAUAAUAGUUGUCAAAUCAAACAUCACAUCACAUCCAAAUUUGGUGCAAGGUCUGAGAGAUUGCCAAAGGAGAUAGGGCCAAACUGACUUAACAGUAAACGCACUCUCCUUUGGGAUUCCAAUUAUUAUAAAUAAAAAGCUCAAUUUUUAAUAUUUUUAAAAUAUUUUUACAUUACUAAAUUGGUUAAUAUAAUAAUUAAUAUAAAUUUAUGACAACAAUAAAAAAAUAUUAAUUCAUUAAAUAUAAUUCGAUAGAUAAAUAAUAAAAAUUCUUACAUGAAUGAUAAAUAAAUUUUACAUAUAUUUUCAAUUAUUAAAUGAUGGAUUUAAAAGUAAUCUAAUGGUAAAUACAUUUAUUUACUUCUAUGCUUUGUUUAAAAUUUAUUGAUAUAAAAUAAUAAUUAUUUUAAUUAUUUUAAAAUUUUAUUUAUAAGAAAUAGAAAAUAGUUUUAAUUAUAUUUUAUUAAUAACUUAAUUAAACAUUAGAUUCAAAUUAAUUUAUAUUUAUUAUUUUAAUUUUUUUAUCACUUAAUUAGUUUUAGAAUUAUAUAUGAAUGAAUUAAAGUAAAAAUUAUUUAACACAAUAAAUAAAUGCAUUAGCAGGACAAUUUCAUUCCUGCAAAAUUUAAAAAAAUCAUAAAAAAACAGCUUUUAGUAUUAUUUAAUAGAUUUUAUUUUCAUGUUUGAUUUUUAUUAUUUUGUUUUAUUUAUUUUUAGGCACUUGAAUAUUUUUGGAUAUUUAUUUAAUUUAUUUCACUUUUAUUUUAUAACUUAAUUAUGGUAACUGUUUAAAUUUUACCACGGAGAAGUAAAAAAGAAUUUAAGGGACAAAAUUAAGUUAUAUAAUUUAUGAGAACUAAAAUAAAAUUUUAUUAUUUUAUUAACGUAUAUAUUAUAUUUUUUAAAGAAUUAAAUUAAAAUUUUAUUAUUUUCAAGCAAAAAUAGGAAAAAUUGAGUUUCCUAUUUUAAGGGACCAAGUCGAUUGGCAGCACCUGUUGAUUUUUAUCAUCUCAUUAAUUUUACUUAUGAUUUAUACUGUUAUGUAUUGUAUAAUUAAAAAUCUAUAAUUUUUUUAGUAACUAUAGUUUUAUUUUAAUACAAUAUAGUAAUUAGUUUUUUUAUCAAAAGCUUUAAGGAAUGAAAUAUGCUUAAAAUAUUUUGUUUUCAUCUCAUAUGCAUAAAACAAUUAAAUAUAUUUAGUAAAUAUUGUUGGAUAAAUUUUAUUAUUAAAUUAAGGCUUAAUCUAUAAAUUGAAAUCUAAAUAAUACAUUCUUUCUGUUCUUGGUACUUCAAUUAUUUUUUUCUCAAGUUGAUAUUUCUUUUAGUCAAACUACUACUCAAACUGUUAAGUCUAUUUUUAAAAAAGUUUUAAUCUAGAAAUUGGUAUCUAAACUAUGUCAUUUUCUCAUGUUGGUACCCACACCUUAGUUAUUUCAAUCAUUAGUAAUACCGUUAAUUCUAUUUUUUUAAAAAUAUAAUCAAUUAAAAAUAGCCAAUAAAUAUUAUUUUCUUUAUAAGUAUUUAAAAAUUAUAAGAAUUUUAUAAAAUUUAAAAUUAAAAUAUUUUAAAAUAGAGAAAAUUGAUUCAAAUGGUUUAGCUAAUUUUUUUAAGCUCAGUUUAAUUAAUAUGUAUCGGUUCGCAGGUCAAUCUCCGAACAGGUAUCCCAAUCGAUUCUUAGUCCAACCGAACAACCUGGUCUAGUUCUAAAAACACUAGUUUUGAUCGAUGAAAGAACUUCUUUUAUCCCAUCAAGUCGAGCAAGUAGAUGAUGAAGUAAAUUUUGAGUAUUGUUGGUAUUACCAAACAUUAUAAAAGAAGAAAAAGGAAAAGAGGGAGAAAG